UUAAACUUGGCAGAUUGUUAGUUUGAACCAAACAUAUUCAGGCACAUGAUCCUAUGCCAUUCAUUGGCUUCUCCAAAGUACACUGAACUUCUAUCUGACAAUGGAACGGUUCAAUGGUUGAUUCAUAGAAAUCAUACAUUUGCGCACUCCUGCUAAAAUAAUAUAUUUUUUUAAAUGUUUGUUUAUUUUUAGACACUGUUCUUCCAUUUGUUCUGUUUGAAUAUAUCCCUGAUGAUCUCAUUACGACCAGCGAUAUCAACCUGUUUCCUUGUUAGGUAUAUCUACAAUCCUUCUCUGCAGACCACUGGAUGGCCGUGAUUCAUAGGAGUUUGUGUGACCGCUGAGUGACUACAGUUUGACCACGUUACAUUCCUUCACAAAUCUUCUUUUCUACAGUAAGUAUGAAUAGGUAUGCCACAAAGUGCGAAGCAAUUAAAUGGUUAAAGAUGGAUCUAUGGAUAUCUCCUGAAACUUUGCUAUUCAACACAUGUAACUCUACUUAGAAAUUAUUAAUAAAAUAAGAUGAAAGGUUAGUUGAGCUGCGGACUUUUCGUUACUCUGUAAUUCAUUCCACCUGUGUUGUAAGAAUCUAAAGGUCAUUUGCAGGGAAAGGGUUUUUUUUUUUUUAAAAUUUGUGAAUUAAGCCCUGGGACGUUAGCAGUCCCUAAAAAAAAAAAAAAAAACCCACCUUCUGUAAUCGUCCCUCCCUUUUACUGGGCAGGACUAACAUCACCCUAGUUAGAGUGACAAAACAUUUUUCAGUCUUCUGCAUACAGGACAGAUAAGGAUCAAGAGAGGAGAAAACACCAGACACGUAGAAAGGGCUCCUACAGACAUCUCCAAGUAUUAAUAUCAAAAAUUUAUAUCCAUUAUGUCAGACAGUCCAAAGGAAGGCUUAGCGCAGACCGGUGAAGAGUUGAAUGCAACACCUACAGAAAAUCCGUGUGCUGAACUCAAGAUAGCCAUGGAAAAAUGGUAUGUAAACCCCAAUAAAUGGACAUGGAAAAGCCAGAAAUGUAUAUUGUAUAGUGUAGAAGUCAUUCACAACGUUCAGUCGUAUUGUCAACAAGACACACUGUUAGUUGAAAGCAAAUAAAAUGUCUAAAAAAAUAGAGAUUUUUUUUAUGUACGUUUCUCUCACCCCCGGCAAGUUUGUUGCAUUUUUAUUUUGCUUUUCAUUCUAUUGAAUUUAUUGUAAGCGAGACUUGGCAAUCUUUGUGAUUUUACAAUUAUGCAUGAGUAACAAUUGGUUAAUGUCUCCAAAUAUUAUAUUUUGUCUUGUGAAUUUCAUGAGCUUCCUGGAUAAACAAGCAAAAAAAAAAAAAAACGCAAGCAGAUCAUGUUAAAAUAAUAAGCUAAAUGUUUCCCAGUUAAAUUAGCAUGAAAUUUUAUAAAAACUGUAAAUUUUAUUACCGUAUUCAUAGAGGUUGUUGUUUUGUUUUCUUAUAUGAUAUCUGUCCCCAUAAGCAUUGGCCUUUAAGUUUGGUCAAUGUGGUUUUUUUUUGUUUUUUUUUUAUUCAACACUUAGACUAAAUCUUUGGGUUUAAAGCUUUUUUUUCAAUUAGGUCAAGGGAAAACAUGAUGAAAAGAGUAACUCACAAAUGAGAAUGGAAGCAUGAAUAAAAUCUAUGUGGUUGUUUUGAAUGGUCAUACAAUCUUAAACUCAGAAUAACUAGUAUUUCAAAUUGGCAAUAUCUAUGUGUGUGUGUGUGUGUGUGUGUGUGUGUAUAUAUAUAUAUAUAUAUUAUUUUAAUAGUCAUUUGUAACUUGUAAUCUAUAAUAUUUACAUAGAUAUUGCCAAUUUUAUUGAUGCUUCCAUUCUCAUUUGUGAUUUAUUUUUUCAUAUGUUUCAAUGCGUGCGUGUGUGUGUGUGUGUGUGUGUAUAUAUAUGCAUUGCAUAUGUUGAGAACAUUAUACUUUGCGAAAAAAAUAAAUAUUUUAAUGGCAUGAAUUAUGGCUGGCCUUUCGAGGUGACAUACUUGUUUGCAAAAUGAUCCUAGUUCUAAACUGCAAGGUCGUUCCAAUGACAGGUGCGUUCUUCAGCUUGUGGAAAGAUGGCAGAUAGUGGACAUUAAUGGAUGUUAUGUUGCAGUUCGGUACAAUCCAUAGCUAUUUGAGUAGAUUAAUAAAUUCGUCAAGCCUGUUUAGCUUAGAGAUCAAAAAUAUAUUCUGCAUUAAAUUGUCGGUUAUAUUUAUGGGGAAAAAAAUUAUAUAUUUAUUUUUUUAUCUAUGAUUUUUUUAUUUAUUUUUUGUGUCAUGUACUCUUGAUGGUGAGUUUAUGUUCCAGUUGUAAAAAACAUUUUUAUUAUCACGAGAAAAAAAAAUGAUUACAAGGUUUUGAUGCUGCUCUAAGAUUAUAUAACAAAAGCAUUUUUCCAUGUUUCAUAACAUAUCGCAGGAGGGGAGGGAGGGGGUUUCUCGAGGAUAAAAUAACAGCCUAAACAAAAGAAAACCUUAAAAUCCUCAUUAAUGAAACGUUAUUUAGAUGGAAAGUGACAGUCCGAGUGAAUUAGUUUAACUAGUAACCCUUUCCGGCAGGAAGAGUUAAUAUCGUGUUCACCUCCAUGUUUCUUGGAGGGUUAAGUAAAUGUGGUAGGAUUUAGAGAUUUGAGCAAAGGACAUUUUUGGCUGGGAUUAGCCAAUCCUCUUUUUUUCCCAGAUUUAGUUUAUCAAUGUUAUCUCCCUAUUACAGCACUAAAAUGUGUAUGGCUUAAUGGUUAUUUUAUUUUCUAAAGUAGUAUGUACUAUUGGAAUAUAUUUGCUACAGCAUAUUCCAAAUAAUUGAGAUCUUGAAAAUUCAGCCCAAACUAAAUGAGUUGAAAAGAAUCUCCACUUUGCCUUUUCCAAAUCAAAUGUAUUUCUCUAAUCACCACCAAUUCAUUUUUAGUGAAUUAUUAUUAUUAUUAUUAAUAUUAUGUUAUAUAUAUAGUGCCAACAAAUUCUGCAGCGCUUUACAGUGGGUGGACGAACAGACAUGUAGUUGUAACCAGACAAGUUGGACACACAGGAACAGAGGGGUUGAGGGCCCUGCUCAAUGAUCUUUCAUACUAGAGUGGGGUAAAAUGAUACAAAAAGGUAAGGAUAGUAUUAGACUAGUGACAUUUGCAGAAGAGGAAUCAGUCAGGAGCUAUUAACAGUUUAAUUGAUAAGCUUUUAUGAAGAAGUGGGUUUUUAAUGAUUUUUUUUUGAAGGAGUGGAGGCUGGGUGAGCAUCUAACGGAGGAGGGUGAGUUCCAAAGGAAUGGUGCUGCCCUCGGGAAGUCUUGAAGGCGAGCAUCAGAGGUGGGAGUACGGACAGAAGAUAGACGUAAGCAUUCAGCAUCGCAUAAGGGCCUAGAAGGGACAUACUUGUGUAUUAGGGAGGAUAGAUAGGUGGGAGCAGCACUAUGUAAUUCCUGUGUCAAAAAGGGACACUAUAGUCACCAGAUACACUACAGUGUACUAUAGUGGUUCUUGUGUCUAUAGCCUAUCCCUGCAGUAUUAUCACUGUAAACACUUCAUUUUCUGAGAAACAGCUGUGUUUACAUUAGUGCUUAGGGACACCUCCAGUAGCAGUCAUUCAGAUGGGCACUAGAGCUAGUAUGGCGACGCGGAACUUAUCCUAUAGAGAUGUAUUGAUUCAAAGCAUCUCUAUGAGGAGAUGCUGAUUGGUGCAAUGUGGCGUUUUGCUGCGCAUGCGCAAUAGCCUCUCAAAGCAUUGGAUUGGCUGAGAUGAUCAAGACUGAUGAUCUCAGCCAUGGAGGAGGAGCCAGACAUAGCAUGGGAAAAAAGGUGAGUAAAAACACAUUUUCCAUGCGGGGGAUGAAAAGCUAAAUAGUUAAACACUAUAGUAUCAGGAAUACAUUUUUCUAUUCUUGACACUAUAGCGUUCCUGUGGGAAAGCAUUGGAUUAGCCAUGAUCAUCAAGAGUUAUGAGCUCAGCCAAGGAGGAGGGGCCAGCCAUGGACAAAGCAGUGUGGUAUAGGAUAAAAUUAAGUGAAGUAUCAUUUUUAAAUUUAGUUUUUUAUUUUACAAUCUUUAUUGUACGUUUUUACAUUGAAAGAAAAGGAGGUUCAGAGAUAAGUCUAACAGAAAUAAAAAGAUUAUAUUAGAAAAAUUAUAAACUGUGCAAAUUGACUGCCUUUAUGUAGAGCGUGACAUGGUCUUCCAAAAGAAUUCUGUGUAGAAUUUUAGUAAAUAAUAAUAUAACUAAGCCACCUGAGAUAAUAUUUCAGCCAUUGACAUCAGAAAGCUGACAGUGAUUGUACACUCAACUCUGGCAUUAGACAGAGUAUGACUCUCGCAUAGCCUUAGGGCUCACCUUGUUCCUCUGCUGAUGUUUAACUAGAUAUACCACAUGAUAUCGUAUGAAAGAGUUUUAGUCCGAGUAGGAAGAGAGAGUGUAAGAGUAAAAGAGUAAAGCACUUGCAAGUUGCAACCCACGCCCUCCACCCCCAUCAGCCAGGUAUUCCUGGUUAAGAAUAUGGACUUAUGAGAUGUACCCCCUCUCACAUUUUGUCUGCCUCCCUCACAAGUUCAUCUCUCUACUAACCAUCUCUGUGGCUAGAAAUACAAACAACUCAUGGGUACCAUUGUUCAGUAUGCUUUGUGCCAGUAUCAGCGAGAGUCUCAAAGCAAGGCUUCACCUGCUUUAAUUUCUUCUACCCUGGAAAUAACUGCUCUUUGCUGGGAGCAUCAUGGCUUUUCUAGAGGGCAGGCUAGAGAUUUAGCUGCGUUCAACAAAUGUCUCAUAAUUGAGUUCUUGUAUUUUGAAAUGGGCAAGGGGAUGAUGUGUAAUAAGACAUUUUCGAAUUCAAAAAGUGUCGGAGAAUCAAAAAUUUCCAUCAGGACAUCUCUUACCAUCAAUCAAUAGGGAUUUAUCCAAGGGCUGUACCACUAGAUAUGCCGAAUGCAUCCCGCUCCCUCCCAACAUGUCCAGUAGCUGGAUGAAACCGAAGAGAAGAUCCUGUGUAGGUUCUCAGGAGUCUGAUACCAAAGUGAGGGCAAUGUAUAAUUAAUUUACUGGAGCUGGCAACUCAUUGAGCUUUUAUGGUGAAAUAGAAGGACUAGAUCUGAUUGAGACUUGGAGACUGUCUUGCCAGGUAUUCUCUCCCAUGCUUGCUUAAACACAGAAGUCUUCUUCCAGCCAUCCAUCAGCAACUACUGGUAGAGGUCUGAAAUUGACCCACGCAGAUCUGAGCUCCCCACACACAGAUUUUAUGAAAAACCUUUUUAACUGUAGUCAAGGGGGCGGUCACCUAAACAGUAACUAGGAUACUAUAGCAUAUUCCUAAUGCUAUAUUAUUCCAUUUUAAAAAACAAACAAACAAAAACUUGUAGGUUACUAUGGCUAUGACUCUGUAUAUAUUUAUUGUCAAAUGUAAUCUGCUUUAGAUUAGAAUUAAAACACAAUGAUCAUAAACAUUUUUAUAUUGAAUUAUCACUUUAAUUUACAAUUGAUUUGUUCUGGAAAGCCUACUGAAUACUAUAAGUUAAAUAGCAGUACAGUGAAUAAGUAAUCCAAGUAUCAGAGAAACACCGACCCAGCAGUUCUAUUUAGAGAAGUGGCUGUAAGAGAAGUACGUUUGUUUUGUAGUGUGUUACCUCCAGGAGGGGUGUUGAUCACAAGUCUCCCUUUGAACGAAUUAUAAAAAAGAAUACUGCAUUAAAAAAAAUGCAAGUUUAUGUAAUUAAAAAAAAAAAUACUUUACUCUAAAUUAUUGAUUUAUAUAAUUUUACUGUAGCUUAUGUAGGGACCAGGAGGUGGGUGAGAUUUAUCAGACAUAAUUAUAUUUAAUGGAAGCAUUGUGCAUGUAUCAUACAUCACUGUAAAACAUUAUGGUAUAUGUAGUUGCAAAUCAUUUCAUUCAUGAAAAUACAUGGGGGAAAAAAAGCUUCUCUGUUAAAUAACAUUAUCCACAGAAGGAAGGAUUUUAUUAGCACACCAAGGAGCUCAAGUCAUGUUUAAUGUUUAUUUUUUUAUUUUUUUGUUCUACAAAUUAACACUUAAGGCUGCAUGUUAGUUCAUCUACUUUAAAGAUUCUGCCAUAGAAAGCUAUGAAUAUGCCUUUACAAAUUACUUAGGACAUGUAUGGCAUGUACACACUGUACAAGAUCUUGUACAGAUAGUGGGAUGUAUUGCUUAACCCUGUGUGAUGUCAUCGAGCAGAUGGGAUGAACAUUUUGCUGCAGCAAGUUUUUCAGGAACUUACAAUCAACAGAGAUAGGAUAAAUUUAUCAUCAAAUUGAUGUGUAAAUAUCCUAGUACUUGGAAUGUUUCUAAUAUUUCAGAUCAUCAGACAUAUGUCUUUAGAAAAGUUCUAUAAGGGAUGCUAAUGGUGGCACAUUGUAAUGGAAUUUUUUUACAGCUUGCAAUGCAGGUAAAUUUGAUACAAAGCAUAGAUUGUUGCUAAAGAAAUCAUAUACAAAAGGUAUAUGAGCUAAAUCUGUAUUUAGUGAAAUUAUAACUCCCGUGCUGUGUAGUGAUUAUGAAUGAAUGUCAUUGUUCAAAAAUUCCAGAUACCCAUUGCUUGGAUAAGCUUUCAUUUCUAGUCUGAUUGCAGUUUUCGUCUGCCUUACUAUAUUGCUCUGUAGAUAGAUUUGUCUAACAGUGCUCUUACAGAUACACGACCCAGGAUGUACACUUUAGGUCAGUGACUUAUUGCUAUAACAUGCUGUCUUCUCUCAGAGGUGAAGCUCCAGUCCUCAUGGAAUCAAAUAUAAUACGACUAGUAAUAAGAUAUAGAAAGAUUCCAAGAGUUCAAAGUAAGCAAACUGUCUUUUAAGUUUUAUAGAAAAAAGUCUUGGCAUGCACACAUACUUUUAGUGAUCAAGAUAAAGCUUUUCGAAACAAUAAAACUAUAAAUAUGCAGAAUUCUAAAAGAGAGAUCUUCCUGUCGAAAGGUAUCUACCCUUACCAUUUGCAGGACCCAGCACCCACCACCACUGUCAUUCACACAAACACAUACCUGUAUUUAAUGGGACACUCCGCUGCAUUGUCCCCCCUAAAAAAGUAAAAAUGACCAUUUACUAGAUAUACCCCAAUGAAAACGUGUGCAUUUAAUUGUGAUUUUUUUAUUUUUUUUUACAUUGGAGUUAUAUCUAAAAACGGCUUGGGAAAGCUGCAGAUUUUUGGCUGUGGCUGUCGAAUCAUAGACUUCCUGUGCCUGUCGAAUCAUAGACUUUCUCAUGUAGCUCAAUGAGACGUCUUUGCAAAGCAGGUGCUCUGAGCCACUGCUGCCUUUUGAGUCUUGCUCCACUGAGUUAACCUACCAGGAAAUAACAGGACCAGUUGUCUGUUUGACACUCGGGUUGGUGUAAUAAGGUUUAUUUAGAAAACUGACAUUUUAUUUUGAAAAAAAAAAAAAAAAAGAGGACAUGCUCUUCACACAUAAAGCACCACUUCAGAAUGCUGAAGUUCUGUAGGGGUCUGGAGUGUCCAUUUAACCACACACACAGGCUGUAGACAUAUACAUUACUAGCUACUUUACUCAGUCUUAACGUGACAGUAAACCUAAUAUCCAACAUAAUUACACACACAAGCAUCCAUAGACACACACUUACAUCAUAGGUGAAAACAGUCCUGAAUUUUCCAGGAAAGUCCUGUAUUUUGGGGGUACGGUCCCAGAAAAAAAAUAGAUCUGUUGAUCCUGUUGUACAUUAUCAAAAUGCCAAGCUCUUCAACAGAGCCCAAUGCCUGAUUUGCUUGAGGGGGCGGCUGUAAGUCAGUCUGGCCCUCUUUAGGCCACCUGCCCCACACUAUCUUUCCUGGCAGGUAUGCCUCACACGCAUAAAAUUCUGGUUCUUGCUUUCAAAUCUCUACAUAAUGCUGCUCCCACCUAUCUGUCCUCCCUUAUACACAAGUAUGUCCCGUCUAGGCCCUUACGAUCUGCUGAAGACUUACGUCUAUCUUCUGUUCGUACUCCCACCUCUGAUGCUCACCUUCAAGAUUUCUCGAGGGCUGCACCGUUCCUGUGGAACUCACUUCCCUCCUCCGUUAGAUGCUCACCCAAUCUCCACUCCUUCAUAAAAGCGUAUCCAUUAAACUGUUAAUAGCUCCUGACUGAUUCCUCUUCUGCAACAGUCAUUCGUCUAAUACUAUCCUUACCUUUUUGUGUCAUUUUACCCCACUCCCUCUAGCAUGUAAGCUCAUUGAGCAGGGCCCUCAACCCCUCUAUUCCUGUGUGUCCAACUUGUCUGGUUACAACUACAUGUCUGUUCGUCCACCCAUUGUAAAGCGCUGCGGAAUUUGAUAGCGCUAUAUAAAUAUCAUAAUAAUAAUAAUAAUAAACAGAUACAUUAACACUCCAAAACAGACUAACACUGACAGAUUCAAACUGACACAGAAAUAUAUUGGCACUUAUACAUAGACUCACACUGACACACAUGCAAUGACUCUCAAACUAAUACUUGCAUAUAAUGCACCAUUAGUCACUUUAGAUUUAUGUUUUGGCUGAGGAAGCCACAGACCUCUACUUAAGGGCAGGGCCGUCUUUAAUAACGAAUGGACCCUGGGCAAGUGUUUGCUUGGGCCCCCUGUGCCCUGCCGCUCUCGCCCCUCACUCCCUGGUAUGCAAUCACGGCAUCCAUCCCAACGCAGUGGCGGUACUAAAGUAGAAUGAAUUUUAUUGGGACCCCCAAUUGCAAGGUUGGACUAAAGGUAGAACCCCAUCUGUCGUGCAACUCCAACAAUGCUUUGACAGCUGGGACUCUACCAAUUUCCCAUGCUUGCAGGGUUGUAUUUAGCACUGAGCCAUGUUAGUAUGUUUGAAUGUAAGCAUGUGUUUGUAUGGAGUAUGUUUGUGUGAAUGUGUUUGUAUGUGGUACUGGAGUUUGAAUGCAAGUGUGCAUUUAUGUGUAGUGUUUGUUUUUGAAUGUAGGAGUGUGCUUGUAUGUAGUGUUGACGUUUCAAUGCAGGAGUGUGUUUUAUAUGUAGUGUUGAAGUUUGAAUGGAGGGGUGUAUUUGUAUUUAAAGUUGCGGCUCAGAUGCACAGGUACACACUCUGACGCACAAGCAGAUACACAGAUACAUACACUGACUACAUACAGAUAAACAGGCACAUACACUGACAGACACACUGACACAGGUACAUAUAUUGACACACACACAGACACAUACACUGGUAGACGUACUGACAGACAUACUGACACAGGCACAUAUACAGACAUACUGACACACAGACACAUAUACCGACAUACUGACACACACACACAGACACAUACACUGAUCAACAUACUCACACACAUACACUGACAGAAAUACUGACACCCACACACUGACAGAUAUACUGACACCCACAUACACUGAGAAAUACUGACACACACACAGGCACAUACACUGACACACACAGACUGAUAUACUGACACACACACACACAGACACAGACAUACUGGCACACAGACAGAUAUACUGACACAUGCAUACACAUGCACUAACAGACAUACUUACACAUACUGACACACACAGAUAUACACACACAUAUAUACUGACACACAGACACAGACAUGCUGACACACAUACACUAACACACAUAUACACUAACACACAUAUACACUAACACACAUACACUAACACACAUACACUAACACACAUACACUAACACACACAAACUAACACACACACACACUAACACACACAAACACUAACACACACAAACACUAACACACACAAACACUAACACACACAAACACUAACACACUAACACUAACACACAAACACUAACACACAAACACUAACACACAAACACUAACACACAAACACUAACACACAAACACUAACACACACUAAUACACUAACACACUAAUACACUAACACACUAAUACACUAACACACUAAUACACUAACACACUAAUACACUAACACACUAAUACACUAACACACUAAUACACUAACACACUAAUACACUAACACACUAAUACACUAACACACAAACACACAAACACACAAAAACACACAUUUUUUUUUUAAAAUGUAAUCCCCCCAGCCUCCUUACCUUUUGGAGUGCUGGGGGGAUUCCCUGGGGUCCAGUGGUGCUGCUGGGCUCCUGGGCAGGCCGUUUGCAGGGGAAGGCGGGCUACGCUGGUGGCACCUACUGCUUCCUCUUCAGCUCCCCUCACGCUUAGGAUGCCGGCGCCGAAGAUGACGCCAUCUUCUGACUCCGCAUCAGUGCGGUGCGCGAGGGAGCUGAAGAGGAAGCAGUGAGUGCUCCCUCGCGCGCCCGCCUGCCUGCCCGACCGGCCACCCGCCCGCCGGGGUCAGCGGGGCAGGUGCCUCGGGCCCCCCAAGAGAAACUGGGCCCGGGGCAGCUGCACCGUUUGCCCCGCGUUAAAGACGGCCCUGCUUAAGGGUAAUGGCAAGAUACAACAAAUUCAAUCUGGCAGCAAUAACUAAUUGGUAUUUCCUCCCCAUCACAGCAGAAAGGACAGGAAACAUAACUGGGAUGCUAGUAUAAAUAGGACUGCUCACUCCUGGGUAACAGCUGUCUAACCCAAUAAAAAUGGUGGGAGUGUUACGCUGCCGUGGUGAUUUAUUACUUUAAAAUCCAAACUAUUAUACAUAUUUUAUUUAAAAUUGUAUGCAGAUUUGUAAAAGGUUUCAUACAGCCAGAAUACAAAGUACUUUCAUCACAAAAAAUAAAGACAUAGACCCGUGGCAAUGAGAGUGCCUCCAUAAUACAAGGCCUCCAGCAGCAGAAAAAAGGCAGAACAGGAGUCCCUUAACUUCAUACCCCCAACACGUGAAUUCAAACUCAAGUGGGCAGGGAAAAAUGCACGCCAGGCUGCUGCCCAAUCACUUAGUGCAAGUGUUUUCUAUAUGGCCCUAGUGCCUUUAGUGUAGCGUAAGCAUGUCUAAUGAUACGCUCACGCUAAGCUUCUUCCACAUUUCCCUGGUGUCCUCAAAACUGGGACCGUGAAAACAAACUUGGGACAGCAGGGCAGGACCCUAAAAUCAUAACUGGAGGCCUGUAACUUGCCUUUGUCAAUAUCAUAACAAAGAUACAAAGAAAGAUUGGUAGGACUACCAGUAGUGACCGUGCCAACCCAUUGAAGGGGAUCACUUUAUUGGAAUUUGUGAUUUAUUUUUUCAACAGCCUAGCACUCUGUUUGAAGUAGAAUUCUUUUUAAUGACAUACCUCUGUUUUUGUGCUAUUUUAGUCUAUGAUAUCAAUUUAAAAUAUUUUAGUUUCAAUAGAAAUGGGAAUGUUUUCCCACUGUGUGCAUUUUCUCAUCUGAAUGUAAGUUACAUAGAGGUAACAUCUCCCCAGAAAGAAGUUGAAAUGAUUAUACUGCUUGUAUAUUAUAUAAAUGUUCUUUUAAGAGGUUGCAAUAAAAUUCCUAAAGCUGCGCUGUUAGCCCCUCCCCUCCCCCUUGGAUUUUUGGAAAUGCUCGUACAGAUUGUAUUGAAAUUUAACUGAAAUUCCAACCCAGUCAAGAGAUAUACUGAGACAAAAUAGGGACUACUCUUGGCCAUGUGCGAGAGUACAGCAAUGACGUGGGCUACUGGAAGGGAAGAGGUCCCGCUAAGAGAUUAUGGCUGCGUGAGGGACAGGUUCAGGGAAGUAAAACUCAACUUUACCUGCCCCCCGGUCCCCCAGCAGCUAUGUCACCGUCGGGGGUUUUUGCGAUUCCACUUCAACCCCAAUGAAAGCUUCACAGUUUAUUCUAGAAGUAUGUAUAAUUAAUUAAGCUUUUUUCUACUGUGUAUGCUUACCCUUCAGAAAACUAAAGGAUCUCAGAAGUUGGUGCCUAGGUCUAUGUGUUAUUCAUUUUGGUUUAAUAUCCAUCUUUGCAACCAUUAGAUUUACCAGACCUUUCUAAAAUGUUCAUGUGGGAGGGGUUACUACUAAUUAAAGCUUAGUCAUGCUCAUUGUUUAACAAGAACUCCAGAUGACUUGUUCAUAUACUCUUAUCAGAAUAAAAUGAUAGAUUGUUUUGUUGCAGAAUUUGCAAGUGGAACAGCAGAUUAUUCCUCUUCAAUUGCUCUUGUGUAGCAAUCAUGAAAAAUGUCCAGAGUGUCUUAUAUCUGGUGGAGAUAAAGCUGAAGGGAAACGUCAAGGGUGCAUUAUAAAAUUACACAGCUGUCAUCUCUCUCAUUAAAGUUUUUUUUUUUAACCUUUUGGGGUCUCUUCUGUGUAAAAUCCCUUAUUGGGCACUAGGGGUAAGGUCCCCCCAUUCUGAUUGCAGUAAAACCUUUAAAGAUAAAGGUUCUACUUACCUUGAAUCCAGCGCCAGGUGAAGCUCCUGAUGCUGAUUACCGCACCCCGUCUUCACAAAACAAGAGACGCACGCAUUUCAACCACAGGCUUCUCAUAAAGGAGCCUGUGUUUGGACCAAUUGACGGCUCAGAGCGCAUGUGCGUGCUCCAGGCUAGUGUUGUUUGUUGUUCUUUCUUUUUUUUUUUUACUGCCUGUAAUGGAGGGAGGGGGUGAGGGGGGGCUUCAAGAGUAAGAUCUUAAUAUCUGACAGGCAAUGUCAAUGUCUAGUGCGCUGGUAGUGCAACUAGCCCCCAGCACACAAUUAAAAAUAUGUCUGUAUGUGCAAGGUUUCAAGCAGAAACACUGCACAUUUAUUUUCCUAUCACCAUGAAGACUUCAAUCACUGAAGUGGUCAUGGUGUUUGGCGUACCCCUUUUAAUCACACACUAUGAAUCCUCUCUCCUCAGCUUCCAUCCUUAAUAGCAGGCAGAAACUCCUGGUAGGCAGCCUUGAAUUGAGAAAGAGGUGGAUGUAGUGAGUGUAGAAUUAAGGGGAUAUUGCACUGUGCAAAUACUCUCGCUGCUUUGAGAGACAGAAGCUUAACAUUUACAAUUCUAUAUUCUAUAGUUAGCUAGUCCACACAAGUAUUGUUCCUAUAAAUAAAAGCUGAAGUAUUUAGUGUUCCAAUUUAUGACACCAUGAACAAACCUCUUAAAAGUCAGAAUGUAUGCAUGGCUGUUAUGCAUUUUCUCUUUGACAGAACUUGUAUGUAGUUUUCGUCUUACAGUUUAUGGUCGGUUGCUUAUAUGUCAUUCUACGUGCCCGCUGGCAAUAGAAGAUAAUAAAAUGUCUUCCUCUUCUCUGUGGCAUGCUGCUACUUGGAUAUUCAGUUGUUCUCAGACUAAUAUUCACAUCUUUGCAGAUAGCCCUUAUAAAUUAGAAAGGCACUUGGAAGGGGCUAUAUGGACUGCUCCUAUUGUAACCUUUACAUUGUGAAUCAAAAAACAAUUUAAUAAAACAAUCUUUUACCUUAAAGGACCACUCCACACCCCUAAAACACUUCAGUUUAGGAUUUAUUAACUAAACCGCUAAUGCUGGCAAAAUGUAAACUGAGUAAAUUAUUCACCAUAAAUUUCACUGUAAGUAUAGUGGAGCUGGAGUUUUUUGUCCCGAAUCUGCUAUUUUUGUUUCCAUCUUGUGAUUUAGGGUACAAUUUACUUGUUAUUUAGUAAAUAGGCCUCCGUAUUUACUUGUUAUUUAGUAAAUAGGCCUCAGUAUGGGGCAUAAGUCUCACGUCUGUGUAGGAAGCAAAGUUAAAAAGCAAAGGAAUAAUGAGAUCACCAUAUAGUAAAUGUAUAGCCGCUUGCAUAUAGAAAAAAAUGCUAGCUUGCUGGUAGAUUAUUUUACUUUUUUUUACAUUCGUAUCCAAACACUUACAAUAACAUGACUGAUAAGGCGUAUAGACCUUUAUCACCUUGAUAGUACGAUGUGCAUGGAGCAAAAUUAUGUAUUAUGGGAUUAUGUGUAUUUAAUCAGAAAAUAUAUUGCUUUAAACCAAGCCUGGAAAUGUGCAGAUGGUAGCGGAGAGAUUUAGAGAGAGAUUAUGCUAGUUUAAGCAACAAAUAUUACUGUCCUAUACUUGGUAGCAAUGUGGAAUAAUCUUUUUGCCUAUGUGAUAUACAGUAUAAUUAAUUAAACAUACAUAUGUUUAAGGGGAGAGAGAAUUCCUUCCUGUAAAUUAUCUAAUGUUCUUUGCGGAACAAAUCAAUUAUAGACUUUUCUAGAUAAAAUUAUAUAAUUAUGAAUUGUAGAGCAAAAAAACGGGUCCAAGAGGAUUCUGAGAACGGACAGCAACUGAAAUAGCCUGCCCUUCAGUGGGUCCCCGCUCAGAGCUGAAACAUAUCAGACUGGUCCCACCCAUACGGGCAGUCCAGAUCCAAAAUGCCAGCAAGUUCCCUCUGCACAAGAGACAUAGCAACCUCAAAUGAUCGUUUCAGCCUUGUUAGGCAUCAUCAGUGAGGCAUAGCUGAUAUCUCUCUAGGCACCGUGAGCAAGGGGUCCACGUCUGGAUUACCCUUUAAACUAAUGGAGAGCAAAAAAACGGGUCGCAAGAGUAUUCUGAGAACGGACAGCAACUGAAAUAGCCUGCCCUUCGGUGGGUCCCCGCUCAGAUCUCAAGCUGGUUUUAGCUCAUCUUGUGCCAUUACAGAGAGAACAUCUCUGAAACAUAUAAUUAUGAAUUGUAUUUUGCCUAUGAUAAAUAUUCGUAUUACCCUGUCAAAGCAAUUUCUGGAUAUUAAACCUACUACAUGCCGUGGCUAUUCAGAAUGAGAAUUCAAUGUUCUGUGCCACUUUCCAGCCUGACAACCACAACCAAAAUUGCUGCUGACCCAUUUUUGCUAGGCAUGUAGCCAUGGCAACAACAGGCUGGCUCAUCUUUAUAAAGGGUUGAUCUGAUUCUAUCACCGCAACUGGCUUUGCCCUGCUGGCAUUAGAGAAAGAGCAUUUAAUGCCACGGAGCUGCUGACAGACAAUUUUCUUUACGUCAUGGGAUUGCAUGGAAAAUUUAAGGGGACCUGUCACUCUCAAGGAUUUUUUAUAAUAAGUUUACAUAUCCCUACAAUAAAUAAAAAUGGAUUUGUGAGAAUUGAAGAAUAAAAUGAAAUGUAGUCAUCCAAACCCCUUUAUCCUGCAAAUGGGUGCCUCCCUUUUGGUUCCCUGUCAGUCAGUGUUACGAGCUCUGUCCUUUGCACCCAGCACUCACCUAGAGAAAGGUUACAGAGAAGACAAAAUAUGAAGAAAUGUCUCUAUUUUUUUGUCCUCCUCUAAAAUUCAAGGCCUAGCUGUGCCGGGACAGAAUUUAUAUUUGCUAAAGUGUUAAUAUAACACUAUAUAAUAUAAUAUAAAUUUAAAAUAAUAUGGAGCAUGUACUGAAAAAUGCUUAAAGGGACAAUUUAAUGCAUUUGAUAGGUUUUGACCUUUUUUGCGCUAUGCUAGGGAUCGACCGGUAUUGAUUUUUUAGAGCCGAUACCGAUAAUCUGUGAACUUUCAGGCCGAUAGCUGAUAACUUACUGAUAUUCUGUACAUUUACCAUUUUGAAAAAAAAUAGACUAUUUUAUUAUAUAAAGUUAAAUGCACAAGAUAUACAUGCCACGUGUAGUGGAUGCUGUGUGUUUAGACAGGGGAGCUGUGUGUGUUUGUGUAGUGUGUGUGUGUAGUGGAUGCAGUGAGUGUGUAUAUAAUGAGUGUAGAGUGUAUAUAAUGAAUGCAGAGUGUGUGUGUAUAGUGAAUGCAGUGUGUUUAUAUAAUGCAGUGUGUUUGUGUAGUGUGUGUGUAUAUGAUGAAUGCAGAGUGUGUGUGUUUGUGUAGUGUGUAUAGUGAAUGCAGAGUGUGUGUUUGUGUAGUGUGUAUAGUGAAUGCAGUGUGUUUAUAUAAUGCAGUGUGUUUGUGUAGUUUGUUUAUAUAAUGCAGUGUGUUUGUGUAGUGUGUAUAUAAUGCAGUGUGUGUGUGUUUCUGUAGGUAUGUAAUUUGGGGGAGAGGGGGCAUUUUAAAUAAAAAAUAAUUAUUAUUUUUUUAGUCCCCCCUCCCUGCUUCUUACCUGGCCAGGGAGGGGGGAUAUGGCAUUCCCUGGUGGUCCAGUGGCAUGGAAAGUACAGAGGGGGCCACCAGCAAGCUCUUACUUACUUUCCCAGCAGCUCCCCUGUGUAAAUCCCGCGGCGUGUCGCGCGGAGCGUUGCCAUGGUAACCCGUAGCAAUGCUCUGACGGCAGCGGGACUCGCAAAAUUUACACAGGGGAGCUGAAGGGAGCUGCUGGGAAGGUAAGUAAUAGCUUUGAAAAAGCAAAAAAAAAAAUUUUGCCAAAUGCUGCACCAUACACCCGCCUUCUUAGCCACGGCCACUCACUCCAGAAAAAAGACUUCCCUGUGAAAUGCAUGUACACAGCCCAGCCACGAACAGUACUGAAUGACCUUAACUAUAAAACAACCUGCAAUAGAAGGAGAUGACAAACAGUGAAGACAUAUAGUCAGGAUAUAAAUACUGGUUUAUAGUUUCUGUGACUGUCUGCAGUCAGGUUGUGAAAUAAAAUUAGCUCAGUGGUGUUGGAGAUGAGAAUGUGUGCAUACAUUUGAUAAGGAAGACUUUCUCGCAUGUUGUGGCAUUUUGCUAAACUUUUGUGUGCGUGUAAAAAAUGUAAAGAUUUGAUCAUGCAAUGAAAUAAAGCAUGCUAUUGAGGCCAAAGUCUAAAUGCAUUAAAGUAUUCAGUGGUGUAAGUGGCAGAGGGGGGGAAAAGUGUAAAUUUUAGAGGAGUUUGGAUAUAACAUGCCAGAUAGACGUGCCAAACUAAUUGUGAUGAAAUGGUAAUCAGUAAAAACGGCUGCCUUCCAAUUUAAAACUUGAUCUUGCUCAAUCCAACAGGUUGUUUUUUUUUCUGGGAAAAAUUAUGAACUCAGUAGAUGGGUUCAGUAUAUUCCAAUAAUUAAAACAUUUAAGUUAAUACAUUUUUUUUAUAUUUAUUUAUAUUAUUUAUCACAUUUGUAUUAUUCUAUUUAUUAUUAUUAUAACCAUUUGUCCUCCGGCCACUUGUGUUGCCAGUGGCCAAAUAAGAGUUAUCUACUAAACACCUCCCUAAUUUACUAUCAUUCUAUAUGUAAAUCCCACAUAAGCAUCCCAAAUUAGGGAGUUAUCUGCUAAACAGCUGGAAGAGCAAAAUUAAAAAUAAAUCUAUUUUCUUAAUUUUGGUUUCUCAGUGUUCCCAAAUUAACGAAUUACCGUAAUGUAUGGAAGAAUUGCUUUCAUCGUAAUGUGAUUUGCGACUCAUUUGAUCCAGUAAUCUGACGAUUCAAUCAUUCAUUAUUUGGACGACCCGCCGGACUGGCCAAUUUUCAGCCUAAUUGUUUUGUUGUGCUCAGAGCAGUGGGCUAUGUUUCCAUCAUAUAAAUUAAAGAUAAAAACCUACUAAGUAAAAGAAAGAUAACUUAAAGAAAUACUUUGAACACCAUAACAACUUCAUCAGAAUUAAGUUGUUAUGGUGCAAGGAGGUCUCUGGACACUGGUUUAAUUGAAGGGGUUAAAGCAUUUAACAAAGUUUGUUUCUUCACUCAGGUGCCUGAUUACUCAGCCAAGCUACAUCCAUUGCAGAUCGAGGCUUGAAUCAGGGUGUCUUGGUCUGGAAGCCACUGAUCAAUAGCGCCCCAUUUACAAAAUUACUUGAUAAAAAUAUGUACGCACCAUUCACUUUUUUAUUUUUAUUUUAAAUAUACAAAUUUAUGUUUAACUGCAUAAGAUAUGGGCAUUUAUUAAAAAAAAAAAAAAAAGGCCCAUGCACGGUAGUUUAGAAAUAUUGGUCUCUCAGACCUCUCUCCCAGAAGGCCUUGCAACCACAACUUGAAUAACACUUAGUACAUAGCUGUAAUAGAAGCGUGCCUCCCUUUUUAGUUUUCAUGAUGUAAGCAGUUACUUGGCACCCAAAACCUUUUCACAUGCCUGACUGCCUUAACACAGCCUGACAGGGAACUUUGCCUGUUUAUCGGUUAGUAACACCCCAGGCCAGACACUCCCAGUACAGAGCUAACAGCAGCCUGGGGUGACCGUGACUAAUGGCGGGGCCUUGCUGAGUCAGGCUCGGCCUCAUUAGCUAAGGACAAUGAGCACAAGAUAGUCAAGGGGCAGUUAUGCAGGGCUAAUGCGUACAGUCAAGUUAUGUAGUACAACCCCAGACUGAGAGCAAAUUUAAUUUCACUUCAGAAGUUUAAACAAAUACUUUCGUCUACUAUCUAAUAGUUCUCCAACAAAAUGCAGGGCAGGUGCAGUGUUAUUUCUAAACCUCUUCUCCAAUAAUCCUUAGAUCUAUAGUUAAAUUAUAUAUCCAGUUGAAGCAUUCUACCUUCUGGAACUUUUUAGAUCAUCAACAACACUAUUCACUAUCUACAAAUGCAUGCAGAGAGGAGGCAAAUGGUAGAUUAGGACAUGAAACCAGUUUUUGCUCCAAUAUCGCCACCUAAUGGCUAAUCCUAGAAGUGCAAGAUCUUUUAUUCAUGGGUCGGUAGAAUUAAACUAUUUUUUUGGAGCUCAUGGAUAUUUGUCAUAUGUUUAGUUAACAUUAAAAUGAAUAAUUGAAUUAAUUUAAAAAGAAAAAUCAUCCUUGAAAUACCAACAUCAUUUUGUACAUUAAUGCUAUGAAAUAUGGACCAUAAUACAUAUGACAAUUGCUGAAUGAAGAGUGGCACUAUAAGAUAACUAAAUGCAUAGUCCUUGACUUCCUACCUUCAGUAAGGCCCCUCAGUAAGCUACUAUAUGCCUCCCCUCACAGCGCUGAAAAGGUUAAAAACCCUUUUGUCACUUACCGGAUUCCAGCGUCGAUGUCCCUCAUCACUGGGUCAGGCACAGCCUCUGCUCCUCCGCCGACUAGUGCCGCAAACUCAUUAGGACUUCCCCAUAGGAAAGCAUUAAAUCAGUACUUUCUUUAGGAGUUUUAGCUGACGUUAGAUGUCCUCAUGCAAAGCGUGAGGACGUCCAGCGUCCGUUAGUAGACAGCAACUAGAGGUGGAGUUAACCCUACAAUGUAAUUAUUGCAGUUUCUCAGUGAGAUGAAGUGGUCUGGGUGCCUAUAGUGUCCCUUUAAUGGAACCCUGAAAAAGCAUAAUAGAUCUUUUGGAACUCCACGCUCCUGAAAAGUUAAUCUCCCUGGGGCAUAUGCUACAACUCUGAAAUGCUGGAAGCAAUGUUCAUAGCAUGUGGCCAGCGAGACACAGAUACAUUCCUUGGUCUGGCUGAACAUCCUAUAAAAAAAAAAAGCCCAUAAAGUCUAAAAUUCCACAUGACACAUAACUUGGAUUCCCAGUUACUCAUGACCUAUUGGAUUCCUGGUGCCCUCUGACCCCAUGAAUGUUUGUUCUCCUAGUAAAUUUCUGUGUUGCUAUUCCUGCUGGUGAAGAUGAAUUGUACAUGCUUGAGGGAGUGCAGGGCUGCACAGGGAGAUGCUUGCUCAAAGCCGGAGCUCCAGGCCUGGGCUGUAGGUGACAGUCUUGGCUGUCUAAUGGGUAAUCCGGUUCUGUAAACAUAGCGGAAUAUUUUAGAUUCUGGUAUGACGCCAAACGUGAAGCUAUAGUAAGCAGGCCCGGACUGGCCAUCGGGCACACCGGGCAAAUGCCCGGUGGGCCGCGGUGGCCAUGGGCCGAGGCCGGCAGGGGAGGUCCCAGGACAUCCCCUGCCGGUCUAUGCAGGGCCGGCACUAUGCGAGCGCCGGCCCCGCUGUCUUCCAUGGAGGGCCGAUGGGGAGAUCAAAGAUCUCCCUCACCGGCCCAUUUAAACAGACCUGCGGCUGGGGAGAGAGGGAGAGGACCCGGCGGAGCUCUAUCUUGUAGCUCAGCCGGGUUCCUCUCGCGAGAUCGGGAGCGUUGCCAUGGCAACGCCCCGAUCUCGCGAGAGUCACCAUUGGACCACCUGGGAUCGUGUGUGAGUGCUGGUCCCCCCCACUCACCAGCGUGCCGGACCCCUCCUCCUCCCAGGCUACAGGUAAGGGGAGGGGGGGGAUAAUGCAUGAUUAGUGUUUUUGUUUAUUUACCCCCCUUAUUUUUUUUUAUUUGUAUAUUUAGUCCCACUUAGGUUUUUAUUUGUUUAUUUACCCCCUAACACACAACAUUUAUACACAGCACUCUCACACUCAGCACACUCAGCACUCACACACAUCAUACACAGCACUAUUACACUCAGCACUCACACACAUCAUACACAGCACUAUUACACUCAGCACUCACACACAUCAUACACAGCACUAUUACACUCAGCACUCACACACAUCAUACACAGCACUCACACACAUCAUACACAGCACUAUUACACUCAGCACUCACACACAUCAUACACAGCACUAUUACACUCAGCACUCACACACAUCAUACACAGCACUAUUACGCUCAGCACUCACACACAUCAUACACAGCACUCACACACACAUACUGCACCCCUCACAUACACACACAACCCCCCGAUACACUGCAUCACACACAUACACAAUACUUCCAAACAUAUUUAUAUUAUAUAUAUAUAUAUAUAUAUACACACACAGCACCCCUCACACACACACACACACACACACAGCACCCCUAAACACAUUUCAUUCCAGACACACACUAGAUCCUCUAUCCAACUCUGAAUCAUCUACACACACUAGAUCCCUAUAUACACUCUGAAUCCGUUAUAUACGCACGCUCACUAGAUCUCCUAUACGUAGUCUGGGUCCUUCACACACACACACACACACACACACACACACUCUGGAUCCCCUAUACGCACACUAGAUUCAUUGUAAGCAAACCCAUACAUUCCCUGAACACACACACUAUAGCCUGUAUAUACACACACACACACACACACACACACUAUAGCCUGUAUACACACACUUGCUACAUCCCCUAUAGACACAUUCUCUACAGCCCCUAGCCACAUAUGCAUUACAUUACACCACAAACACAACACGACUAAAACCGACCUUAUUACACAAUACCACACCACGACCAGCUCACUCUGCACACACGCAAUACCACAAGCAGGCUCCAAACACAUGCACAAUACUCUUUCCUGGCCUUUUGUCUCCUGGUAUCCAUUUAUAGAGACACCAGAGACAAGUUGCAAGGAAACACAGUGCAAGCAUGUUAUUAAAUUUGCUUGCACUGUGCAGAACAAAUACAGGGCUUUUUUCUCAUGCUAGAGCUCUUCAGCAGAGCUCUGUGCAUGGUCUGCCCUGGAAGAGCAUUGAACCAACAUGCUCACUUUGAGAGGGCGCGUGUUGUCAUGAGUGAUGACAAAACACACCCUCUCUGCCCCGCCCCCUUCUUAAUGGGCCGCUGUGAUUAAAAAAUGCCCGGGCCAAAUUUUUAUCCCAGUCCGGCCCUGAUAGUAAGUCUCCCUGGUGGUUGUCUCAUUGACAUUCUCUAUGAUUAUAGGUAUACUGACUGAAAAAUGAAAACAUUACCUUUUCUCAUAACAUAAUGAGAUGCAGUGGAGUUGGUACUUAGUGUCCCUUUAAGUGAAAAAUGGGUAACUGGAUAAAAAGGAACAAAGAAUUUAAUCAUUAAAUUUUUUUUCUGGCUUUUGUUUGUGGGAAUAUGGUCUUAGCCUAGAGGCUGAUGUCUGUUGUUGAAAUGAACGAGCAGCAUGUUAUCUGUUUGAGGUGCCCUGGUAGCCACUGCUGAUCUCUGUUCUAUUUCUAAGUUGAGCAGGAAAUGAAGAGCACAGUUAGGCCUCCAGGAUAUAUCUGAAGGAAUGUUGGGAACACUGCAGAUGGAAGCUUUAACUUGCUAGAGCAAGGCUGUGGCUCUGGGAAUGCAAGCUUCAGGUUUUCAGUGUUCAUAGUAUGCUGUUAUUGUUCCCUGGGUAUUUAUACAUGUCAUAUUAAAGGAAGACUUCAAGCACAAUAGCCAACAGAGCACUGUAGUGGUUAUGGUUCCAGGAGGACUAUGGCGUUGUUCCAGUGUAAUUACUCAAACUAUUUUAAAGCGGUUUGACAAUUGCCAGGACCCACGUUAAAUGUUAAAUUGUGUGGUUUUUUUUUUUUUUUUAAUUCUUUAUUUUUGCUUGUGCAUGAAAUUACAGUGGAUCUUGCAUUGCCACAACAGCGAAUGCGAGGGUUGCAGUACGAUUAAUGAUACAUGUUGAGUAGCAUUGAAAAACUUUAGACAUUACUUUGCAUCAUUCGAGGGGUUAGCACAGAUUUUUAUAUUUAUGGUAUUGUAGCUUAAGUCGAACAUAACAUAGUAAUUACGAGUAAACCAAGCAGUCAUUUUAAAUAUAGGUGACCUGAGUGGAUUAAAAUAAUUUGGCUGAAAAACAUAAACAUAGUAUCAUAGGUAAAUUAGUAUCCCUGGUGGUUGGUACCACAGUGAACAUCAGCCAUACAGGUACAGUAAGUAAGACUUUGUUUGCCUGUGUGUGGUCUGCGUGGGAUCAUUGAGGUUAAAGGGUGUACGUUAUGAUGUGCCUCUUGUUGUUUAAGACUAGCAGUAAGUGCAGGGCGUAUCUCAAUGUAUACUUGUAGGUGCAAUACACUAUGUUGGUGACUUAAUAUGUCAUGCCUGACAGAAUCAUAAAGCAGCUAUAACUUGUAUACUGGAAUAGUGGCAUGAGGAAUCACACAGUUUUAUAUAGUUAUAUCAAUCAUCAGCUUGGCAAAGUAGAUUAGAUUACAGUGGGAAGGUCCUUGCUCUACAGUGCUAGGUUAGCUAUGUAAAAGUAUUUGGAAACUGUACAUUUUAAUUAUUGUGUUGAAACUUGCUAGUCACAAUUUUUAGUAUAUAAUGAAAAGAGAACACGAUAAACCUGUAUCGCUAAACAACAAUGAGAUAACAGGCUAAGCUGUAAGUACUCUGAGUACUCUGACUGACAGCAUAUGAGUGAUUGGCCAAGGUGAGUAUGCAUUAUGUAAGCAGGGUUGCAGUUAUUGCCUGCAGAUCAUCCAGUAUUUUGCAGCGAGCAUCCUGGUAUGCUCAAUGUGGCAGGUUAUGGACAGACGCCACAUCGGCGCAUUUCAGGAUUCACCAGCAUUAAGCAGUGGCAUGAUACUUCUCACAAUUGUUAUAGUUUCGGAGUUUAACUAAACAGUUAUUUGGUCAAAGUGAGAUUCAGAUAAAAUAAAAUGAAGAUGCUCGGUGCCUAACACCGCUAGAUCGGCUAUGCUAGUAUAGGUUGAGUAAGCACGAUUUGUAGUGUGGUAAUAGCUGGUUAUAAGGCCAUGCGCAGAUACCUUAUGUUGUGAGUGUUUAGGCUAAGAGGCAUUAGAAGCACAGGCUAGUGACACAAUAACGGUACACAAACAUUCUGACUGCUGUGUGUGACAGUUAGAAGGCAAUUAUAGUGCAGGUUAAAGCGUGUAUAAAGCUGCUGUGCUUUACUGUUGGAUUGGUGCUAAAAUAUCUGGGAUCUGUCUAAGCUCCCGUUGACGUUUGUCCCAAAUGCAAGGGAGAGAGGAGAGAGAGAAAAAAAAAGGGGGGGGGGAGAGAAUACUGCAGGUGGAUUAGCGCAACACGGCCCCCUGGAGUCCUCCAGGUAAGAGUCCUGCUCCCAAGGGCUUGCAUACAUAGUGAAAAAAGGGAGAUGAGAGAUGAGUCCUCAGGGUCCCGGUUAUUGAUAUCAUCAGCGAUGCCUUGCGGGGUAUUGGUGGCACCCCGGCGUGGUACUCUAUUUCUCGGGAAUGUUCGAUGUAGGCAGGUUGUGGUGUUGCUGAACUUAGAGGAUGCGACCUUUGGCUCCAUUUAUGUGGUAAACGAGGCGUAGGUGAUCGGUGUGGUGUCCGCGGUCUGAAUGGGGCACUUUUUGCUGGAUCCCAGCUGUGGGUCAGGGAAGUGGGGGCACAGGGUCCCGUUUGGGAGAGUGAAUCCUGUGACAGACCCAGGGUUUGUAGAAGUGCCGCUGCGUCUUGUAUGCUGUAGAUUUGGUGUGUUUUUUCGCCGUGUUGUACCAGGAGCAUGCGUGAGGACCGCCAGUGAUACUGUAUGUUGUUGCGCUGGAGUGUGGAGGUGAGAGGCCGAAGUGAUCUGCGCCAUGCCAGGGUUCCACUGGACAGGUCGGCGUAGAAGGUUAAUUUUGCGUUCUCAAACUGUAUGGGGGCUUUGCCCCGGACGGCGCUGAGGACCGUCGAUUUGUCUGACCCAUUUUUAAAGGUAAGUAUAGUGUCCCUUGUGGCCAUGUCUGGGGCCCUAGCGGGUUUUGGGAUCCGGAAGAGAUCUGUGGGUGUGAUGGCUUUGGCAUGGUCUGGGGGCAGUAUGGUGGUUAGCAGGUAAGUCAGCCUCCGUCAACCCUUCUGGAAUCCCCCUGACCUUUAUAUUGAGUCUCUGUCUUGUGUCUUCCUGGGUUGCAAAGCGCCGUUCAUACAGCAUAUUUUGGCUGUGCAGGUCUUGCAUGUCUUUCUGCAGUGAGGCGAUAGUGCGCUGCUGUUUUUUGAGAGGAGUCCUCUAGUACUGUAAUGCGGCCUGUCAGGCCCUGCAGCUCUCCCCUCAGUGCGGUGACAUCAGCGAGGAUGUUUUUUUGUAGGUCCGCUAGUAGGAUCUUUAACUCCCAGUGGUUACCAGGUCGGCGUCUGGAUCCUUCUUUGGGUUGCUGGGUUUUGCCCUCGGCUUUGGGGCUAGGAGGCAUUCAACUGCUCCCCCUGAGCAGUCGUCUGAGAAAUCCGAGCAGCCUCCGUGGAGCGCCGCCAUAUUGGAUCCGCUCGGGCCGCAUGCCUGCCGCCACAUCUCCCCUAUUGUGAGUCCUGGGGCUGGUUUGUCCGGCAUCUAUUUCUUGUGCUUGCGUCCCAUUAGGGCUUAAGGGGUCCCUGCUGUCGGACAGUGGUUAUUGGGGGUGGUAUCUGCCGUUGAUAAGUUUAUUUUCUCUAUUUUUCCUCGUAGCUCCUGAGUUUUGCGUCCGCUUGCCUCUGCUGUUAGGCACCGCCCACAAUGUUAAACUGUUUUAAUGGAGGAAUGCCUCACGGGACACCAUUGCCAAUUCAAUGAGGUGAAAUGGUUAUAGUGCCUAAUGGCCCUUUACAGGCCUCCAAACAUUUUAAAAAGACAAAGAGGGACACUUUAAGGGUAUGGAUCUGGCCAGAGGCUGGGCUGUCCUGAGAAGUUUUAGCUGACUUACUAGUAACGUUUUAUGUAACUAAAAUGUAAUUUAGAACAAGAACAAUGUAUCUUAUUGACAAAUACUGAUUUCUAACAUUUAUUGUAGUUUCUAAAGACACACUAUUGUGAGUAUUUGUGAUGUGGAGCUCUGUUAUACACUCAGACACACCAACAAUAUUGAGCUCUUUGAAAAGAGGGACAGAGAGAUUUGGAACCAAAAUAGGGACUGCCCCUCCUAAAUAGGGACUCUUGGGAGACUCUUGCCUUUAAGAAAGAAAAAAGUUUAUUAUUUGAGAAUGAAAUUUCCAUCUAAAGCAAAACCUUUACUCGUCAUCAUCACUGUGUCAUUCAAUAGCCCUCCUCAUUACAUUAUAUAUUAUAACUGUUGCAUGCGUGGCACUGGCAUCUGCAGAGUCCUUGAACAUUAUGAGCACAUGUUCACCCAGGAGAUGCAGAGUGUUUUCCACUUACCUAAUUUAUCUUGAAGUCCAUAAAGUCAUCGAUGGGACAUCAAACCUCAAGGUGGUGCUAGUGAAAACCUUUUGUGCAUUUAAAGAAAAAUAAUUUUGGUGUUAAAGGAACACUGUUAUAAAUACACUUUUUCUUUUCUUUUUUUUUAAAUAAAGAAGUUAAACUAAACUUCAUCAGCACCAUCCUGGGGUGCCACCCCUCUUCUCCUGAGAUGCUGCUGAUAGAUAAUAUCAUGCCAAUCCAAUGCUUCUCCUAUAAAAACAUUGGAGCCCUUUCGGUGAAUGCAUUGAGUGCUUUUCUCUGGGGGCUUCUGUGUCAAUUGACCAGGUUUUUUCCUGCAAUGUUUUACAUUGCCAGGUUAAAAUGACAGGGCACUACACUUAGACCAUUUAAUUGAAAAAAAAGUGGUCUGGGUGACUAUAGCGUCCCUUUAAUUUUUCGGAUCUUGUGCUUGUAUAAACACACAGUAAUAAGACCUGCAUGCAAACCUCCUGCGACUCUUGGGUGACAACAAUGACUAUGGUAUUUAUCAUCCUUAAUGUAUCUGGCAAACCAAAAAUGCCAGCUAGAUCUUAUCUAAAGUUGGAUCUAAGCCUGGAGCUCUGGCCACGAGCCUACAUUUAUUUAUUUCCAAAAAAAAUCCUCUUUUAAACAAGUAAGAUUUUAUGGUACAGUACACCUUGUUCAUUUGUUUGGUCUUUGUUUUUGCAGUGUGACAGAGAAAGGUCAAGAAAGCUGCCAGGAAUUAAUUCAAGCCUACAAAGAAUGUAUGAAAUCACUAGGAUUGCAAAUCGAAUGAAUUUACAGGUAAAUCGGCACUUAUAAAUACUUAUAGAGUGUAUGUUAGUCACGUUGUGUUUUUAAAAUCAGUCAGAUGUCAUUGAUGGUGUAGUCAAUUCUUUUUGAUUGUGAAAUACAAAUACAAUAAUAUACAGGCAAAGGUGGAAGCAAAAACAAAAAAAAAGUUUAAAUCUAGGAAAAAGAUUUUCUUAGUGUGUGAGAAGUAAGAUGAACCAAAAAGACAAUUAUCAGAAACCUAUUUUUUGUGUUCCUGUAUUAACUUUGUUUUGAAAGCCUGGUAUUAAUACACAAACCUUAUUUCAGAAAGCAAAGGUCCCCAGACUCCAUAGAUUUAUCAAAACCGAAUAAAUGAACCACCAACCCAAAGGAAUCUCCUUUUAAUCCAAUAUUUUUCUAGUAGGUGGGAACAAAGUCUGUAUGUUUAGGUUACAGCAGUGGUUCUCAAACCAGUCCUCGUGGCCCACCAACAAUCCAGGGUUUAUGGAUUUCCUUUUUGUAUUUCAAUGGAGAUACUGACCUGGACUGUUGGUGGGCCAGGAGGAUUGGUUUGGGAACUGGGUUAGAGUAAGCUUUCAAAGAUUGUCAAAAAAGGUUGUAAUCUACGCCUUCGUUUGGCAUUUCUAAAACAUAUUGUGUUACUGAGCUCUGGUAGAUCACAAAAUAUACCAUACAGGUGAAAAACUGUUUGCAACGGCCAUACCCAGUACAAUCUUUAAAAUUGUAUCACAAUACAACAGUGUUUAAGUUCCACUCAGUAACAUAUUUUGCAAACCAUAAUAAUCCUGAUGAAUCUUGGGAUCCUUAAAGGCAUUGGAAACUGAACUGAUUUGGACAACAAUAAGUGUAUUGAAGAAAAUAACAAAAUAUUUGUACUAUUUUAUGUCUUUGUUGGACACGUUUAGGUGACAUUGCUAAUAGUAUUAGUAACAAAAAAAAUUGCCCCCCCUCUGGCCCCUGUACUCAGGUCCAUAAAGUUCAGCCUUCCAAACAUCUGUUUCUGCAGUUGAUCCAAAAGAAGGCAAGAAAAAAUAUAGUCUGAAUAAAGUCUGAAGCCAUUUCCAAUUGUGCCACAUACCGGGAAUAAAUGAUACAUUGAUUGCAAAAUGGCAGCCAGACAUCUCCGUGGAUCAGAACGUUGCUACCACCUACAUUAAAUUUCAUAUCCUGUAAUAGUCUGCUUUUUGAAAAAACAUUCAGAUAUUUUUUUAAAUCUCAACAGAAUCCGCUUUCUUGUGUAGCAAAUAAUUCCACAUCUCGAUUGUACUUCCUGUAAAUAAUCCUUUCCUCCGCUGUAGGUGUAAUUUCCUUUCUUCAAGUCUCAAAGGAUGACCUUUGAGUUCUAUUUACAGGCCUGUUAAUAAACAGAUUGCCAGGCAGAUGUUUGUUUUGACCCUGUAUAUAUUUUUAUAGGGCUAUUAUAUCCCCUCUGAAACACAAUUUUCUCCUCAAAGUAAGCAAUUUCAGCUUUCCACCCUUUCUCUAUAUGUAAUUUUUUUCGUUACCCUUAUUCAUUUUUUAGCCUACUUUCGUGCUUUUUUUAACAAUAAUUUUUAUCCUUUUUUUAAAACUGGUGUCCAAAAUUGCAUCUCACUGUGUUUAAAAUUAUUUAUACUCCACUAACAUUAGUAAAUAAUAUGAUAUUUCUUCAUUGAUAUUUAUCCACGAAUAGUCUAUAUUAUUACCAUGAUACUAAUUAUAUAUGAUUAAUAUUAAUAAUAGUCAAUUAUAAGUGGAUAGUGUGUAUAUAUAUAAUUAUGUAUACAUUUGUCUCUGGGUGAGUCGCAUUCCUUAGCUCAGACUUGCAUGAACAGAGUGAUAGAGAGAAAUCUUGUGUCUGUCUUAGCCUUGUAAUACAAAAUGGAGUCACCUCUGUUCUGAGAGUGACUGGCAGUGUACACUUUUAAUUUCUGUCUUAACACAAAAUGUCUACCCAUAUAAAUAUACUGACAAAACCCCUUAGUGAUUAACAUAGCAAUGAUUAAUUUAGUCUAUGAAUAAGCACUACAGAAGUUACAAGACAUAUUGUGCACUCAUAUCAUUUCUUCUGGCGUUAGGCCUGUGCGUGCAGAAUGAACAUUUUUGCAUAUUGUGGUACCUGUAAGAGCUUAGAAUUUUACACUUAGUACAAUCAACCAUAAUACCAUUAUUAUCAUUGUAAACCCAAUAACAAUUUUAACAUACAUGAACCAGUCAACACGCGCAAUAUGGUCAGUAUCUAGCUCAGAAAACUUAAAUGUGUCCACAGAAAUUUUAUCUUUUCUGAUUGACAUUUGGAUGGUGUGGUUGGCUUAUGGUCUAGCAAGAACUUUAGAUUAGGAUCUAGUGGGAUAUCUAGAUUCUGGAAAGCAUGCACCAUCUCAAUAUCACUUUCAAUGAUGUCAGUGUACACCGGGUAUAGCGUAACGACACCAAUGGUGAUACAAGAGUAGUGGGGUACCUUGAUUAGUGAGACAGGUGCUGGUAAGGCAAUUACUUUAUUAGUCACCUGGUCCCUGCGAAAAACACUUAUGUUUUUAAGACACGCGCUAACUAACCAUUUAUCUUUUACCAAGAUAGCAUGUACUAAAGCAUUAUCGUCGGUUUUGGACAUAGUGACUUGACAUGUUUCAGAGCCAUGUUUAAUGUACUCAAUCCCACACAAAGCAUUGGUAGAAUCGUACACGAAAGGUUUUCCAUCACACUGGAAAUUGUCUUAGAAUUUCUCGCAGUCAUUCAAAAUGGGCAUUGAAUACCAAUCUGGUACCCAUGGUUGAAAAGCCAGAACAUUGGGGGCUUGAACUUUUACGUGGAUAUCUUCCUUCCAUACACCAACAUUGUAAAUUGUUUUCAUUUGAAAAAUGUUUUUGGGAGUUACAUACGGUAUGGCCAAUAAAAACGUGGAGCACUCCCCAUCUCAAAGGCCAGAUUUAAUUGCAUAGGCUUAAUUGUCUCUCCAUCCACACUGGCAAGCAUCGCAUGAACAAUAUCCUUGGAUACAACAUUCAGAGGUAUGCGUCCGCCUGCCAAUUCAAUCAUUCCGGUUUGCACUUUGUCAAGAAAAGCAAGUGUGUGGAACAAUAUUGGGUCAUGCAGAAAUAGAAGUUCACGCUUAAAUAAGUCAUGACUUUGGUGCGACUCAGUGGACCCCGAAUGCAAAUUUGUUGUAACAACUGUGUCUUCCACAAUAGUAAACACGUCUUGGAGAAGUAUGCUUUGCUGUUUUAUCACCUGAUGAAUAUCGUUAAUGUGCUGCUUUAGUGCAUAGAUUUCCAUAUAUAGUUGUGACAAAAAGUAACUUAAUAGGUGAACAUCAGUUAUAGUGAUGAAUGAUCUCUAAAGUUGGAAAAUGAGAACAAUACAACUACCAUAACCACUUUGUCACUGCAAGAAUAGCCGCCAGCCACGGUUAAAGAGAAUACAAGGUAUAGGUGCCUAUUGAAUAAGUCAAUAGUAUUUACAGGACUUGGUGGAAAUGGAACUCAAGGAUAAAGAUGUGAAAAUAUCUUAAUAGAUUGUAGAAUAUAAAAGUAUCAGCUGAUCGGAUCAAUACCUCCCAUGUGAAAGGGUAGGGGAAACCGAAAAUCGCUGAAAAAAUAAUAUAGUAAUGGUUCUAAAACACCAAUGUAAGAGAACCAAUACAAACUGUAAACGUAACAUAAGUCAGAAAAUAAAUUACUCAUACCUCAUAGGGGGUUAAAAAUCCUUAAAAUGGUGUCAAUUAUAUAGUGUAGCAUACAGAGUGCUUAUUACAAAAGAUUUUAUUGGCACAUUAAUACUGUCAGUACAAUACACAUAUAUAUAAAUGACUCAUAAGUAAAAUGAACAAAAUGUCCCAAGUGAAAAAAGCAAAGAAUACCAGGUAUGUAGACUGAGGGUCCAAUAUUGUUCGUAACACUCUGUCACUGGCCGGAUAAAAGUGAGUGUGGACCUCCUCGUGCUGUAUCAACACUGGCUGUCAGCCGCGUGCGUUCCACUGCAGCUCUGGAUGCGUUCCAGUCUAUCACUUGGGAAUCAGUGUAGGAUGCUGCCUUACGCGUUUCGUGAUCAUAGGAUCAUUUCAUCAUAGGAUCAAUAUUGGACCCUCAGUCUAUAUACCUGGUACCAUCUAAAGACAGUUUAAUCUCUGCCUCUCUUAACUGAGUGAGAACAUGUCUAAUCUCUAUGCUAUGUUUAUCAAAGGAAGUGCUUUUCAGCAAGACAUCGUCGACAUAUAACGUUCCUCUCUCGAGUACGUCAGGCAUAGCUUUAUGCAUGAACACAGCGAAUUCAUGACCAGAGUUUAUGUAACCGAAAGGCAUACUGGUCCAGGUAUACUGCUGCUUUCCAAAUGUGAAGGCCAAUUUGUAUUGGUCUUCAUUAUGAACUGGUACAGUCCAAUAUACCUACGGACAGUCAAUGGCAGUGAAUAUUUUGGAUCCCAGCAUUUGUACCAAACAUUGGUCUAUGUAUGGCACUGGCCAACCAGACAUAUAGACACAUAAAUAUAAGAAAUUUGGGAAAAAUCAGUACAAAAUGGUGCUACUAUCACCUAGUGUGAAUCACUCAACCACACAAAUAAAGUGUACAAAAAAUAUAAAAGGCGGUGAGAGCACUCUAAAGCAUGCAAUUAAGAUUAUUACCAGAUUGAUCUUGAGUUCAACUCUAAAAACAACAAGAUAAAAGAAACAUAGAGUAGUAUUGCCAGAUUACAAAUAUUGUUAGUAAAAUACUGGAAAAACUCACAUGUUACUGAGUCACUUAAAAAGCUGACUCAGACUAAAAGCUUGUAAUGGAGAUGAAUAUUCCUUUAGACUGGACGUCCUUUGGAUGAAUUUCUUCUGGAUGUUAAUGUAAUAAUUAUUCCAGGAUACAAUUCCAAAGUGAAACUAAUUUAUUGAUUAAAACAAAAGUUUUUAAAUCAAACAUAAAAUAAAAUUGUCCAUAUGUAAUUACCACGACGCGUUUCGGCAAAAUAGCCUUUCUCAAGUGGUUUGCAUUCAUCUCCAUGAUUGUAGCUUUUAAGUUCAAAAGUUUGGCGCCCUUUCUCACUAUUUCCGGUUUUCUUUACUUCCGUUUUCGUCAUCAGUAAUCGUCCGACGUGUCCCACACGUCAUGGCGUCAUCUUUCGUCGUCCGACGUGUCCCACACGUCAUGACGUCAUUCCGGCACCCCGGACCGGAAGUGUUGCGGGCGCCAUUUUUAAAAGUCCUUUUAAUACUUAUUUUGCCAGUUCUUUCUCAAAUGACGAGCAAUUAAAGCAUAAAAAAGUUUUAUAUAUAAAAUUUUGGUAUAAACCUUCUCCAAAAAAUAAAAAAGGGGGAAACAUAUAUAUUAUUAAACAAGAAGAAAUGUCAUAUACAAUAUAUAUAAGUUAAGAUCUAGACAGCUGUGUAAUAAAAUAAAUAUUAAAAUAACUAUAGUUAUAAUAAUAAAAAUAAUUAAAAUAUAUUUAUAUAUAGGAAUUGACCUCAAAAUCUAUAUUUAGACCACAUGGGGAUAGAGUUUGCAUGUUAAAAAUCCAUUUCAUUUCGGUUUUGUUCAGGAGAUUUUCUAUGUCUCCUCCCCUCCAAUGUGUUUUGACCCCUUCUAUACCCAUAAAGUCAAAACCUUGUGUGUUACCCCCAUGUACUUCUAAAAAGUGUUUAGACACAUUAUGAAGAAUAUAUUUUCUUUUAAUAUUAUAAAUAUGUUCUCUAAUUCUUAUUUUUAGUGGUCUAGAUGUUCUACCUAUAUAUUGGUAUCCACAUGGACAGGUGAUCAUAUAAAUUAUAUUUUUAGAGUUGCAGGUUAAAAAAGAUUUAAUAUCAUACGAUUUUUUAUUAAAAAAAGAAUCAAAUUUGGUAACAGUUUUAUUUUUAUGUUUUCUUAAAGUGCACCCUCUACAUGACCCACAAUAAUAAAAGCCAUUGUCUCUUUUAAACAUAGUUAAAAGUUGGGGAUUUUUUUCUUUCUCUAAAAAACUUGAAGUUAAAACCUGUUUAAAAUUCUUUGCUCCUCUAAAAAUGACUUUGGGUUUAGUUCCUAUAUAUUGUUGUACAUCUUGAUCCUGCUCCAAAAUGUGCCAGUUCUUCCUAAUUAUUUUUUGUAAUUCAUUACUGUUUGAGCUAUAAUUAAAAAUGAUAGGUAUAGUAAGAUCAUCGUCCCUUAAUUCUUUUGUUUUAGAUUUUAAAAUAUUUUCCCUAGAUUCUUGUCCUACUCCUUCUUUUAGUCUUUUUAAUUCAUCAUAAUUGUACCCCUUUUCCACUAGUUGAUUAAUUAAAAUCUGAGUUUGUUCAUCAUAUUGUUGAGUUUCUGUACAAUUUCGCUUGAUCCUUAAAAAUUGUCCCUUAGGUAUAUUCAUUAACCAGGGUUUAAAAUGGCAACUUUUCAAAUUAAUAAAACUAUUUACAUCUACUAAUUUAAAAAAAGUUUUACUUUUAAUUUGGUUGUCUUCCACAUAAAUAUUCAAAUCUAAAAAAUUAACUUGUUGAGUACUAAUUUCGUAUGUUAGAUGAAUGUUCCAACUGUUUGAAUUAAGACCAUUUAAAAAACUUAAAAGGGACUCUUUUGUUCCUCUCCAUACAAUAAAAAUAUCAUCUAUGUAUCUUUUGUAUAAGACCAGACUUGCCCCAAAUUCUGAUUUAGAAAAAAUCUCCAAUUCCUCCCAAUGUGCCAUAAAUAAAUUAGCAUAGCUUGGGGCAAAUCUGGUCCCCAUAGCCGUUCCCUUUGUUUGUAAAUAAAAAUUAUUCUCAAACCAGAAAAAAUUGUUGGAGAGGAUUAUUUGUAUCCCUUUUAUAAUAAAAUCUAUUUGCUGGGAAUUUAAUUUGGUCUCUUUAGUUAAAAAAUGUCUAGCAGCCUCACAUCCUAUUGUGUGUUCUAUAAUAGUAUAGAGGCUACUGACAUCACAAGUGGCCAUAAUUAGUCCAUCCUCCCAUUUUAAAUCUCUUAAAAUCUGUAAAAGUGACAUAGUGUCCUUAAGAUAAGAGGGACAUUUUUUAACUGGAUCUUGUAAAAAAUAAUCUAAAAACUGGGACAAAGGAGAUAGAAGAGAGCCAAUUCCAGAGACUAUUGGUCGUCCUGGGGGAUUUUUUAUGUCCUUAUGAAUUUUUGGUAAGACAUAUAGGACGGGAAUUCUAGGAAAUUUUACAUUAAGGAAGUCAUAUUCUUUUUUAUUUAAUAUCUCUAAUGCUAAUCCAUAAUCUAAAAAUGAUUUUAAUUUCUUUUUUAUUUCUUCUAAGGGGUUUUUUGGUAAUAGUAAAUAGGUUUCUUGAUCUUUUAAUUGUUCAAAAAUCACUUCAAGAUACUUUUCUUUUUGCCAUAUCACUACCCCUCCCCCCUUAUCGGCUGGUUUAAUAACAAUACUAGAAUCUUUUCUCAAGUCUUGUAAUGCUUUUCUUUCAAGUUUUGUUAAGUUUUUUUGUCUUUCUUUUAUAGGUUUUAUUUCUCUGAGCUCUUUAAUGCAGAUUUUUUCGAAUACCUUUAUUGCAUCUGACUUUAAAUAGCUUGGAAAAAAAUUCGAUUUGUUUUUAAAAGUGGUAUGUUUAAAACUUUCAUCAUUUUUCUCUUCUAUUAUAUUAAGGGUCUUUUGAUUAAAAAACUUUUUUAAACAUAAUUUGCGCGUAAAUCUAUUAAUGUCUAAAAAUGUCUCAAAUUUAUCAAUGUCACAACUAGGAGCAAAUUUAAAACCAUUAUUUAAAACCUUUAUAUGACAAUCGUUUAAAAUUUUAUCCGAAAGGUUAAAAAUUCUUAUGUCCGUUGGGGUCUUUUUGCUAAAUCCUCCCUCCUCCUCUUCUCCUCUUUUUUGUUUUCUAUUUCCUCUUCUUGUCUUCCCCUUUUUAUUGGGGUUUGUGUUUUUUGAUUCCCUUUCAUUCUGCUCAUCGUCUGGCCUAAAAAAAGAUCCUCCUCAUUUAAAUGUUGUAGAUGACUAUAUCUGUUUGAAACAGUUAUGGAUUUUUCUUGUUUCCUAGGGGGAGAAUAUUUAGGGUUUCGGUCAUAAUUGAUCCUAUUAAAAUUAUUUUUGUCAUAAUUGUUACCUCUAGAGGAAUUUCUCCUUUCUCCUGUUCUAGAUUUUACUUGAAUCCAUUCCCCUUUCUUUUCAUACUCCCUUUUUUGUUGAUAUUGAUUUGAUAUAGGAGAUCUCUCCCCAUACGAUCUAUAAUUCUGUUGGGGUAAUCUUUCUUGUUUUUUAAAAUUUGGUUUCAUAUAAUUUCUUUUUGUAUUUUUAAGACCAUUUUUUUGUGGUUUUAUUUGACCCUUUAAAUAGUCUUCCUGAUCUCUUUUCAAUUUCUUUUUCUUAGUUUCAAUUACUCUUUUCUCUAUACUCUUUAUUUUCUCUAUUAUCUUUUCCAUCAGAAUCUUAAAUUCCUCAUUUUCUAUAAAGGGUUCAAGUUUUUUCUGGAGGUCAUUAAUUUCCUCAUUCAUUUGGAAUAAGCUAAGUGUUCGUUGUUCUAUAAUGAUGCCCAUCAUAUGUUUUGCAAAAGACUCUAGGGCUCCAUCCCAUGCCUCCUUAAAUCUCUCAUUUUCAUUUUCGGAAGUAGGGGAUUUUUGGAAUCUUAAACCCCUAGGGGCUAUUUGUAAUUCCACAUAUUUCUCUAAUGUAAACUCUAUCCCCAUGUGGUCUAAAUAUAGAUUUUGAGGUCAAUUCCUAUAUAUAAAUAUAUUUUAAUUAUUUUUAUUAUUAUAACUAUAGUUAUUUUAAUAUUUAUUUUAUUACACAGCUGUCUAGAUCUUAACUUAUAUAUAUUGUAUAUGACAUUUCUUCUUGUUUAAUAAUAUAUAUGUUUCCCCCUUUUUUAUUUUUUGGAGAAGGUUUAUACCAAAAUUUUAUAUAUAAAACUUUUUUAUGCUUUAAUUGCUCGUCAUUUGAGAAAGAACUGGCAAAAUAAGUAUUAAAAGGACUUUUAAAAAUGGCGCCCGCAACACUUCCGGUCCGGGGUGCCGGAAUGACGUCAUGACGUGUGGGACACGUCGGACGACGAAAGAUGACGCCAUGACGUGUGGGACACGUCGGACGAUUACUGAUGACGAAAACGGAAGUAAAGAAAACCGGAAAUAGUGAGAAAGGGCGCCAAACUUUUGAACUUAAAAGCUACAAUCAUGGAGAUGAAUGCAAACCACUUGAGAAAGGCUAUUUUGCCGAAACGCGUCGUGGUAAUUACAUAUGGACAAUUUUAUUUUAUGUUUGAUUUAAAAACUUUUGUUUUAAUCAAUAAAUUAGUUUCACUUUGGAAUUGUAUCCUGGAAUAAUUAUUACAUUAACAUCCAGAAGAAAUUCAUCCAAAGGACGUCCAGUCUAAAGGAAUAUUCAUCUCCAUUACAAGCUUUUAGUCUGAGUCAGCUUUUUAAGUGACUCAGUAACAUGUGAGUUUUUCCAGUAUUUUACUAACAAUAUUUGUAAUCUGUCAAUACUACUCUAUGUUUCUUUUAUCUUGUUGUUUUUAGAGUUGAACUCAAGAUCAAUCUGGUAAUAAUUUUAAUUGCAUGCUUUAGAGUGCUCUCACCGUUUUUUAUAUUUUUUUAGACAUAUAGACACGUUUAUUUAGCUGUCUUAAGUCAGCGCAUAAACUCCAUUGUCCAUUAGGUUUCAGAAUUCCCAGGAUCGGAUUAUUAUACGAACUGUGCACCGGACGUACAAUUCCCCUUUCCUUUAAAUUCUGAAUGAUGUCUUGUAGACCAUCAUAUGAAGCCAAUGGAAAUCUAUAUUGUUUGAUAAAUACAGGUGGUAAAUUUGGAUCCGUUUGUAUUCUGGCUAAGUGGAGGUUAGUUAACCCACAGUCGUAGGAAUCCUUGGCAGAAAUAUCUUGGAAUUCCAUAAGGAUUUCCCUUAGCUGUUGCCACUCAGCAUCGUUGGAGCAACCGUCAGCUAACGAUAUUUGUUCUUCAAGCCUUUCUUGAAAUCCUGGAAAGAUUUCAGGCUGGCUUAUCUCAUAAACUUCUUCAUGCCUAGAAGUUAGGUCAGUUCGGUGUUUACUUACCUUUUCUCUUUGGUCGUGAUAUUCUCGUGAUUCCUGCUCAGUGAUCGAUGCUUCUUCGAUUUUACACAAGCCUUCUUCGACGUUAAAGGGAUAUACAGAUAGGAUAGUAAAUAAUCCUUCUGGGAAGGAAUGAAAUAUUUGAUUGACAAUUUCGUCCUCUGUUAAUUAUUCUUCAGGUAUGAGACCUAUAAUUUGGUUUUGGAAACCAAAUGUAUAGUACUCCGCAUCCAAUGCUAGACCUAAUAAUGUUCCUUUUGGUAAAGUAACACUAUUGGGUGUAACAUUGUUGACUAUUACAUAGGUUCGAUUCUUACCAAUACUUACGAUUGGUGUAUGUGUUACCACCGUCCCUAAUUGUUGUAUUCUAUUGGAUAAACCGAUUAGGGCGUCAGUUUUUCAAUCUCUGACCCUUCUUGACCUGUAGGGGUAAAAGAAAGUUACUUGUCCCUUGUGGAAUGGUUAUGUCAUCAGGUACUUGGAUACUUACCGCAUAUGUUAGUAUUUGUCCUGAUUUCAGAGCAUUUUCCUCGUGUUGGUAUCCACAAGGAUUACCUUUUAACCUUGUCCACAAGUUGGGAGUUAAUCAGGUCAAGGUGUAUGGCAAAGCGAUGUAUGACAUCAUUGCCAAUGUAAACCUGAUAGCAAAGUUCGUCUAUUACUGGGAAUAAAUGUUUAGCCAUUUUAUUUCCGAUGGAAAUGGAUAGUAAACAUUUUGCUAUCACAUUGUGACUCUCUGAUUCGCCAUGUUCUGGAUCCACCUGUCAUGUGGGGAAGCAUACCUGAUCAUUUUAAGAUUAGCUAACUGCUUUUGCAGACUCCUGCUAAUAUAGCUGUUCUCACUCUUUAAGUACAGCUUUGCAUUCCUAGUUCUUCCUAAGUCAUUUAUUUGAAAAGGAAAGAAUAAGUUGUUAUUAACCCUUUCAAUUCUGGCAAGGGGUGGAGUAUGACCUGCCAGAUCAACAGAUUCAACAUGGUCCCUGUGGAGAGAAAUGGUUAAAACAUCACAUUCCAGAAAGACAUUCCGGAUUCUCUCUGGAGCAACUCUUAUGGAAUGUUCAUCUACAGGUGCAAUUGCGUCAUUCACCUGCAGGAUAGUCACGUCAGGUGACUGACUAUUCCUAAAAUGUACCUCAAUAGAGUCAGGUCUUUCUUCUAUCACAUGGCAGUUACGUUCAGGUUGAACAUGUGACUUUGCAUAGGUUAUAGGAACCUUAGCUUGUGACCAUACAAUUCCAUUCACACAAUCAAUAAUUGUGUUAAGUCUUCUGAGUAUGUCUAUACCCAGAAUCAGUCGAUUAUAGGGAAGAUCUACCACUAUUACCAGAUGUUUAAAGGUUUUGUUACCUAUUUUAAACUUUAACCAAGUAUUGCCAAUAAAAUGAAGGAAAGUUCCUCCUACACUCGACAGAGCAUUGGGGAAAUCUCUUAGCUUCUGCUUAUCCGUUGCUAAUUCCAUUACCUGCUGGAAGUAGGUAUUGAAUAAGAUAGUGGCUUGUGAACCAAUAUCUAUUAACCCUUUGAAAGGUUGGGGUAAGGAAUCCUGUAUUUUUACAGGCAUGUAAUACCUUUCUUCAUGUUCUUCUAAUUCACAUAAGAAUUUAGAAUGUGUCAACAUAUCACUCGUUUUCCAUACGUUACCUGUCACAGCAGUAGUUUCUACCUGUACUGAGGAAUGCUCAGUCUUACCCACUUGGCCCAUCCUUCUUAGGAACAUCUUGAACUAUCAAGCAGGAACUAGUGGUCGGCAUCUUAUCAGUUAACCCUUUCAGGUCUGGAUCCUGGAAACUAGAGGCUGUUGGGGAUAUUUUAGCCUUUGGUUGAAAUGAAAAAACAGAGGGACACGUUGUGCCUCCUUCACUCGGAAGUGAAGUGACUGGGUAGGCAAUAUGUUUUCUAACACAACUAUUGUUUGUCUGACUGUGAGGAUCUGGAAAGGAAACCGGGUUAGGCAAUACAUCUACUGACAACCUAGCCUGUUUAGUCACAGUAGCUAUUAUUGCGGUGGCACCUGUGGUUGCUGCUGCAGUUGAAUAGGUGGCUCUGCAAUUGGGGCUGUCCCUAAAAAAGGAUUUCUGGCAAAGACUUGGUUAAUCUUUGUCAUUUUUUCCAUUUAUUUGCCCAUCUGGUCGGUCAAUUGACCAACCUGACAACGCAAAUUAUUUCCACCAUUGCCGUUUUGUCCUUGCCCCUUAGAAUUAGGCUGGGAUAGCUGAGACUGUUGGGAGUUAUUGGAAGCAGACUGGUUGUUUCUGUUUCCAUAUCUCCUAUUUCCCUGAAGAUUCCUUCUCCAUUGGGAAUUGCCUUGGUUCUUAUUAAACCAGGGACGUUUAUUCCCAUUGGCAUUGGACUUUUCAGAGUUAUCAGAGGAAUUAACAGGAUUGCUUAUGGCAUUUUCCUGUUUCUGAGGUUUUGGAGUUUUCAAAACCUCAGAAUAAGUCCUCUUUUUCUGUUGGGUUUCUAAAUCUAACUGAAUUUUAGUCUCUGACAGCAUUUUAUCACCAGGUUUCUUAACCUUUUGCUGAUUUUCGUCAUGUGCAUGGUGUAUAGUAUACAAUUUCAUGCACUUACUAACCAGCUAUUCCUAUGGUAUCUUACAAUCAUAAUCUCUUGCGAGAUUCAUUUGUAUGUUUGCCGGCAUAGCAUGAAAAUACAGAUCUUUGAAUUCUGUACUUUCAUACCUGGGUUUCCUUUGGGCCACGGAAUAUGCAUUUUUAAGAAUUAUUAAAAAUUCUCUGGGGCUUUGAUCUGGACGGCACUUUAAGUUAUAAAGCUCUUUCCUAGCAGAAGCAAUGGUUCUAUACUUAUCAUAUUCCAUGGUUAUCUCAUAUUUCAUCUUUUACCAGGACAUUAGCUGUAUAUCUUGAAGACUCUCCAAAUGAAUACGGCAUAUUGAAUCAAAGGUCCAUGUAAUGUACCAUUUCUUAUGGAUGUCAUCAUACAUGCCCAAUGAAUUCAUGGCUCUUUCAUAAUUUUCUAGAAAAUUGUGGGACUGUCUCUUUAAGGAAUUUAAUAACCUUAGGCGUUUCAUAGACAGGAAUAGUUGAUUUUCGACUGUUUCUGUUUUCCCUGCGUUUAGGUAAACGGCUAUGCGAUCUGGCUGCUGAAGAGUAAUUAGAUCCGUAUAACAGCGCAGAUGGUAUAGCAGUCACAUGGCCAUCAAGGUGGACAGUGCAAUCACUUUCACUCCCAUCACUCUGAGCUUCUUGUUCACUAUCACAAUUCUGAUCAGCAUCAGAGUUCUGCCAGUGUACAAAACCAUGUCUCUUAUCCCUCCUAUCACCCUGAACCUGAUUCCCUUUCUCAAGCUUGGCAAAGACAGUCUUUCCAAACUGUUCUGCCCAAGAUUGCCAGUGUUUGGCAAUAUCAUGAGAUGAGGAAGCCUGUUCCACAGGUGUUUUCUCAGAAUUACUCACAUCUUUUCUUUCAGACUGUUAUAGGAAAGUCUGGUCUGCAAAUAUAAGGGAAUGGAGAAAGCCUAGGUCUUUUUCCAUUGAUUUUUCACUAUACUGUUGACUUUCAUCUAACUGUAUCUGUAUCUGUUUUAUCUGCUGUUCAUAAUUAUCCAUCAUGAUGCUCAUUCCUUCCAGUCUAUUUGAAAGAUCAGAGUUUUUAGCCUGAAGGAUAUCAUGUUCAGCAGACAAAGUUUCGAACAUCAGGUUUUUGUGACAUUCGUCCAAUCUAAGUUCUAAUUCAUUAUGCUUUUUUUUUAACGGACAGUAUCGUAGAUUCUUUGUCUGUUACUAAGAUGUUUACUUAGAGGUGCAUUAUUCGAUCUAUCAUGAAUAGAAUUAAGAACUUGUUCUUUAAUUUGGAAUACCCAAUCUUUAGAAGUCAUUUUAAUUUGUAAAUGCUUAAAGGAACAAGUUGCAGGUCUAAUAACCUCUUCCCACUAACUGAUUGAGAUGAUGUGCUGGAUUCAGCCAUAUUUUUAUACACGUAAUUAAUCUCAAUACAAAACUCUUUUCUAUAUCAAGAUUUAUAUUGCAUGAAUUACACAAAUAGCAGUGCCUCCGAAUUACUGUGUGAAAUAUAAUUUCAACUAAUGAUGUCAGCAGUGUGCCUCCAAAUUGUGAGGAUAUUUAUGGGGUGAUUCCCCGAAUAAUGAUAAUAUAAAGCUGAGAAUUACUCACAUAUUUUAAUUUUCUUAGAUCCUAGAAGAAGUUUCACUAGAAGAUUUUUACUUCACACAGUAAUCCCAAAUUAAUUAUAAAAAUAUACUUUAUUGUGACAAUAAUAAAAAUCAUAAUAUGUAACAUGCGUGACAAUCAGUGAAUAUUUAGGUAUAACUUAAGCAUUACAUAUGGCAAUGGUUUCAACAUGAUUCAGACAGCUAAAAGCAACCAGUUGUCAACAAGAUUUAUGAUAGGACACUGUUUAGAAACCAACUUCACACAGAAGACAUAAUUUAACAGCACAGUGUAUAGCAAUCACACUGAAUUAACUCUUCCAUUGCUGGCCACAAUCCUCAUAGGCAAGAUAUCCUAUUAUGUUACAACUUUACAAUUAAAGUAAUGUUCAUACCAGAUCAUUUGACCAUUCCUAGGACCAUCCAAUAAGAAUAAUUCUACCAGAUUUUACGUUUGCCGAAUUUUAACUUUCCUAAAUAAGAUUCACUAUCUUAAAUCAGAACAAGUCAAUACCUCUGAAUAAAAAUUUGGUAUGCUAACAUUUGGCAAAUUUACUGUUAAUAUAUCGUUAUCGUUAUUCCACCUGCAGGAAUGGAAUUUUUAUAACCAUAUAUUUCUUAGCUAAUUAUGAUUUCUAAUGAUUGAAAUAUGACCAAUAUUUAUCUAGAUAUAUAUUCCUGCUAUUAGUAAAAAUUAAUUAAUUUACUUAAAUAAAACCAGCAUAAUUUCCAGUUAGGUUGUAGAUUUUCUCUCAGAUGAGUAGAUAUGUCCCAGGAAUUUCGAAUGCAAGUAUGAUAUAUAGAGAACUGUAUGGAAAUAGAUAUGUUUUCAGUUCUGGAGUUGUGUUAAUUGGAAAAAGUAAUAGUAAGAAUUAAAUGUGUCCAAGAGAGUGUUGUUUCUUGAGUACAGUCCAAGAGUCAGAAUAUGUUUCAAAGAGACUUCUAAUGUGGUUCAAAUAGUGUGAAAUCUCUCAAAGAGCUGAGUUUUUCCUUACUUCUUAAAGGGAAAAACUCUCUGCACGUCACUAGUUGGUAGGACCAAUAGGGAACUGUAGGUGUGUCUUCCCUAGAGACUAUAAUCUAGAUUUUGGUCAGUAGGUGGCGCAAUUACAUCACCAAAAUUUCUUGUCAGGCGGUCUAUGCCUUUUUGCAUAAUGGGUUAACUGAAAUUGGUGAUGCAUUUUACGUCAUUUUUGGUUAUCUUUAUGGCUACUAAAAAUCUAAAUUCCUGCCAAUUUCAAAGGCUUUUUCACAUUUAUACCAGACAGAGUGUCGGCAAUUUCGAUCGUAAUUUUAGAAUUUACACCUCCUAACCUAUAUUUCAUCAUUUUCUUACAAUGGAACUUUUUUAGAAAGUAAAAUUAAUUACUUAGUGUUAUCUGUCAUUGGUGUCUGGUUUUCUUGUGUGAAGCUGUGUUUAAGAUUAUUUAUACUCCACUAACAUUAGUAAAUAAUAUAUUUCUUCAUUGAUAUUUAUCCAUGAAUAGUCUAUAUUAUUACCAUGAUACUAAUUAUAUAUGAUUAAUAUAAUAAUAGUAUAGUGGAUAGUGUGUAUAUGUAUAUAUAAUUAUGUAUACAUUUGUCUCUGGGUUAGUCGCAUUCCUUAGCUCAGACAUGCAUGAACAGAGUGAUAGAGAGAAAUCUUGUGUCUGUCUUAGCCUUGUAAUACAAAAUGGAGUCAACUCUGUUCUGAGUGUGACUGGCAGUAUACACUUUUAAUUUCUGUCUUAACACAAAAUGUCUACCGAUAUAAAUAUACUGACAGUAUGUGAAUGAGCUCAACAAAGAACCACCACAACCACAGUUUUUCCCCCACCACAACUCUUUUGAGAUAUACAUAUAUAUAUUUAUAUAUAUAUAUAUAUAUAUAUAUAUAUAUAUAUAUAUUAAAAAUACAAAAUUGCUUGCAUUCCUGAAAUAGGUAUAUAAUAUGCCCGGUGCUGGUCAGGCAAAUAGCAUAGAAAAACAGAGAAUGACCGCACUCAGGGACUUGUAAAUAUCACUAAAAUUUAACUUUUAAUGUUCAAAAUAAAUCAAAUCAACGUUUCAACCCCAUAUUUGGGCUUUCAUCAGGAUGGCAAAAACUUUUUUAACAUCCUGAUGAAAGCCCAAAUAUGGGACUGAAACAUUGAUUUGAUUUAUUUUGAACAUUAAAAGUUAAGUUUUAGUGAUAUUUACAAGUCCCUGAGUGCGGUCAUUCUCUGUUUUUAUAUAAAUAUAUAUAUACACUCUCUCUCCCUCGUCUCCUAUAAGAGGAAGUGUGCUCAUAAUUGAGCACUUUAAGUAAUUAAUAUUAAAAUAGCAGCUCUAGGUGUGUGAGUGUACAACCAAGAAAGACACUGGAUAUAUAAAAGGAAAAAUACUAAACAAAUAUAGUGCAGAUUGUAACUGUUACAUAUGUGUGUACAGAUAAUUAGAUACAUUCACAUGGACAGAAGCCUAAACUUAUUGACUUUGUAAUUAACAUUUCUGUGCUAUUGGGGCAGCAACACAACCCUCUUCUGACAAGGAUGAUCCUCCAAUCAAAACACAGAAAAGAGGGAAACCAAUAGUGCAAUAUACAGAAGUCGGUCCUCCAAUAAUAAAAACAAUAUAUUAAAGGACCACUCUAAGCACCCAGACCACUUCAGCUUAAUGAAGUGGUCUGGGUGCCUGGUCCUUCUAGGGUUAACCCAUUUUUUAAUAAACAUAGCAGUUUCAGAGAAACUGCUAUGUUUAUGAAUGGGUUAAGCCUUCCCCCUAAUCCUCUAUUGGCUGUCUCAUUGACAGCCACUAGAGGCGCUUGCGUGCUUCUCACUGUGAUUUUCACAGUGAGAGCACGCAAGCGUCCAUAGGAAAGCAUUAUGAAUGCUUUCCUAUGUGACCGGCUGAAUGCGCGCGCAGCUCUUGCCGCGCGUGCGCAUUCAGCCGACGGGGAGGAGAAGAGGAGGAUCGGAGGAGGAGAGCUCUCCGCCCAGCUCUGGAAAAAGGUAAGUUUAACCCCUUUUCCCUUUUCCAGAGCCGGGCGGGAGGGGGUCCCUGAGGGUGGGGGCACCCUCAGGGCACUAUAGUGCCAGGAAAACGAGUAUGUUUUCCUGGCACUAUAGUGGUCCUUUAAGCUCACCUGGCUCUGAGGUAACCAGCUUUGUGCCAAUUUGAAAGGGUGGCACUUAACUCUUAGAAAAGGUUUCUGGGGGCGGGGCCUGGCCGCCAUGCUGACCGGUCGCAUGCGGGAGAGGCUCCUGCACAAUCUGGCCCUUUAGAAUGCAAAACAUGGCACGUCGCAGCCAGAAAUGCAGCACAGUGAACAGGCAGCUGUGGGCGCUACUGCUGACCCCAAGAUCGGGAGUUUUGAGGCCCCUGAAGGCUGCAAGAAACUUUGGGGCCUGCGGCCUACGCGGGAGGGGAGCGGGAUGGACGGCCGCCGUCCUGUCUCCAACUCUAGCAACCACGCAGCAGCACUGAAGCACUCCUCACAGGUCCCGUUCCCCCCCCUAUGGACCGGCGGGGGUUAUCCCAGUCCCCACUGGAGGGAUCCGACACCACCGCUCACCGAUCCCAUUGCGCCUCCCAUGCUCUCGGAACCCGGAGUUUUACCACAAAAUGGCUGCCUCGAGGUCAGCCCUGGGCACAGACCGACCGUCAAUGCGAGGUACCGCCAGACGCACCUACCUCCGGACUUCCUCACUACACCAGCGCCUGAUGGAGCACAUGGAUUCCCAAGCCUGGGCACCCGGAGACCAGGACUGGUCCCCGCGGCCGCCUGCGAGGUUGCCCCUCACACCGCAGCCCAACGAAUACACAGACCGUUACUGACCACUAGCAGCGACAGAGAAGCGGACACAGGCUGAAGGCUCACGCGAAGCCUAGUACAAGCUAAAGGGCACUCACCGGACGCCCCCAGUUGCAGGAAACCUGCUGACAGGCUGCGGUCGCUUCCCACAACGGAACCAGCGGCGAAAGGGAAACUUGUUAAUUGGCGGGACUAACAAGCAUGCACAUAACAGCCAACACAAAAGUACUGUGCUUGGGGGACUGUGGGGCUUCAAUACCGGGACACCAGUGGUCUUCUCCUAUUGCUAAUGUCUCAUUAAUCUGAACCUACGCUAAACCUAAUCUAAAUCGUGCUAUUAGCUAAUGCCUUAUGAAUGCCUAACACGUAUUGUCUCUCUAGCUAGUACCUACUCAACUUAACCCCUUAAAAAUGUGCAUGUAAUAUCCAAAUGUCCUAAAUGCUAUAUCACUGAUGUUUAUCUUUUUAUUUUCCUUUUUCCUUCUAACAAGUUUAGUUAUGAGAAUGUUAUGACUGGGUCUUGCCUCUUACGGAUAGACCUGUAAAUCAGCUUUUUUCUAUGUAAUGUUAUCUAACUAUCAUACCAUGCUGUUGCUUGCAAGUUCGUACCUCCUCUCAUAACUACUUAUGCUGAAAAAUAGUUUUCAUGUCAUCAUACACAAAAAUGUGCACUGUGUUCCCAUGUCAUGCUCUAUUGAAUCGUCGUUUAUUGUUAUAUAGUGAGUACAUGCUCUUGGGGCAUGACAAACGCAUAUGUAACUGCUUUCUCUUUAUGCACUCAAAAAUAAAGAAUUAUAAAUAUAUAUUAAAAAAAAAAAAAAAGGUUUCUGGAACUCCAAAGGACAAAGAGAAGUGUUGAGAAUUUUCUUCAGUUGCCAAAAUGCGUUUCAUUCAAUGAGCUUCCUCAGUCCACCCUUGGCAGAAGUGACGCCGCACUACUCUCGGUACGACUCCACCUCAGGAGUGAUAACAUUCCCUCCUACUGACUUGAAGUGCCAGCAUGAAGUAAAAUGACUAACAUCACAAAACUGCUGUUUUAUCAAACAUUUCUGUGCUAGUUAUACACCCCAAGGUUCAAAUAAAUGUUAUGUUAAUUCUUUUUUUCGAACAAAAAUGGUUUGAUAGUGAAAGGCUUAAGUCUUCUUGUUGAUGUAUCACUAUAUCAUAUUAAUAAAAAUUACAAGUAGAACCAGUGCUGUUUUUUAGUUUGUGUGUAUAUAUAUAUAUAUAUAUACACAGACAGAGAAUCUGGUUUUAUACUUUCAACCAUAAAAUAAAACAAAUUCCGAAAAUUCCAUCUCUCAUCUGUUUCAGCUUUGUGUGAGCUUUUUGUUGGUUCAUGGUAGUGAAGAUGUCCUGUGUAAAGGUUUAUUUCGAGGAAUUCUAACUACUCUGAAUAUUUUUUUCAUACAGAUGCCAUGAUUUCUGAGAAGGUGCGUGUUUUGAGUCCUCUUCCCCAUUAUUCUCUCCUCUCCAAAUCCGACCAUUCCACUGGGAUGAACAGAUGGGGGAGUCCUACUUUCCAUGACAAGCUGUUAAUUGUUUCAGAUACAGAUCACCUGCAAGAACCUACCUUAUACAAUAUCUCUAUCCGCUCCAGCCAUGGGGGAAUCUGCAAACUCUUUGGAGGAUACCAAACAACUAGGAAUAAAACUUUCUACAUUUUACCAUUUUCAGCUCCACCAAUUAUUUCCAUGUGUGUUUGGAAGAAAAGUUGGAUGUGUAAUCCUGUGAAAAGUCCUAGACAUUUAAAAUUUCACUAAAGAUUUAUAAAAAUAAAAAUUAGAAAAUACAUAGAAUCUUGUACACUUGAAUAUCUUGAAUUAUAUUAUUUAUUUGUCAAAGAGCACUUGGUAAAAAAGACUUAGACAUCCUUUAAAGCUGAGGGGGAGGGGGAGGGGGAGGGGGGGGAGGAGAUGCACAACAUCAGAAUAAAUGCAUUUCACUGGGACUGAAAUGAUUAAUAAUUCCAAGGCCUGCCUUUAUAACAAUCUCAAAUUUGAUAUGUAGGAUUUCCGCAAUUUAAAAAUGGACAAGGAGUGGUAAAGUUUGUUUGUGUUAUGUCAAAAUAUCCAUGCCUUUGUAAAAUUUUAGUAAUUCAAAUGACAAAUUAAAUUAAAUUUAAAAAGAUGUACUUGGUAAAAAU
Molecule: long non-coding RNA, 45995 nt
Filed under: Pelobates cultripes (western spadefoot toad)
Lineage: Eukaryota; Metazoa; Chordata; Amphibia; Anura; Pelobatidae
Source: RNAcentral